AAAAUGAAACCCUAACCUUUCCGAAUUUCAUGUGCCAGAAGCCAACCGAUCGACAAAAUGCAAGUCCAAAUCCUUGAAACCAAACUUAUCCAACCCUCUACACCACCCUUUCUCGAUCAAGAACAGGUCCUCCCUCUCUCGCACCUCGACACCGAUCCUAAUCUCAACAUCACGUUCCGUUACCUCCGUGUGUAUGUAAAUGCCGACCAAACGAAGCGCGCCCACGAUACACCGUACCAUGUCAUUGCUAGAGCGUUCUCUGGUGCACUUUGUUACUACUACCCUCUAUGCGGCACGCUUCGUCCUGGCGAUCAUCACCGCCUCAAGCUACAUUGUGUUGCCGGCCAAGGCGUGCCGCUUGUUCACGCCACCGCCAAUUGCACUCUCCAUGCGGUUAAAAACCUUGAUGACGCGGACUCGGGUUUCUUGGAGUAGCUGAUACCCAACCCGGAUCCGGAGGAGAGUUUGGCCAACCCGUGUGUGCUCCAAGUCACAAUGUUCGAAUGCGGGGGGUUCAGCUUAGGUACCGCCAUACACCACGCCAUGUGCGACGGGCUCGGGGCGACCCUAUUCUUUGGGGCAGCGGCGGAGCUAGCUCGUGGGGCGGAGCGAGUUUCCAUCGAGCCGGUGUGGGACCGAGACAUCUUGUUGGGGCCAAGGAGUCCGGCUCGGGUCGAGGCGCUAGUUGGGGAUUACCUAUGCGAGAAGGGUCGGAACCCGUACGAUGAUGAAGAGAAUUGCAAGUUUGGUCGGGAGUUCUUCCACGUGAAAGAGGAGUGGUUGGACCGAUUUAAGGCAUUGAUGCUGGAAAAGUGCGGCCAGAAGUUCACCACGUUCGAAGCUUUAGGUGCAUUCAUUUGGCGCGCAAAGUAAGUCAUUUAAGUACACCAACCAUUUCGAGAUUAUCUUAGGAUUAUCCUUCUGAUUACACUGUUAAUUUAGAGAUUUGCACAUAUGUAAAUAUCCGGCCGCAACGUCUUGACUUCAAUUGAUUCACAAAUUCCUGAAAUAGGGUCAAAGUAUCGGACAUUCCAGGCGAUGAGACGGUGAAAUUCUCAUACUCAUCGAACAUCCGCAAGGUGCUGAAACCGCCAUUGCCGGUCGGCUACCGGGGCAACGGAUGUGUCCCGAUAUACGUCCAACUAAAGGCGAAAGACUUGCUGGAAAAGCCAAUUUGGGAAGUCGCGGAGCUGAUCAGGAAGAGCAAGCGCAACGCAAGCGAUGAGUACGUGCGAUCGUACAUCGACUUUCAAGAAGCACAUCGAAGAGAAGGCGUCUCGGCAGGUCAGAAGGAGAAGGCUUUUGUUUUUUUGUUUUUUAAUUUUUUGAAAGAUUUACGUUGCAUAGCAGGCAUUGACAUUGUCCACGAAAUAGUAUAUAUUUAUCUAUUAUUGCCUUAUGAUUAUGGGGAGACAAGACAAUCAAUUUUCAAUGAAUUGAGUGCAUGUUAAGGAAAUAUACUCUUUUAUUUCAAUUUCUCAGGAAAAAAAUUUAUCGGCUUGUAAUAUCACAUGCUUAGGACAUUUUGUAUAAGGAUGCAAAAGAUACUUUAUGGUCAAAAAGAGCCAAGUGUCUGUAUAUUAUGAUUUACAUGUCUAUUAUCACACUUACAAUUUUUAAUAUCUUGAGGUCUUCACUAGGAGUACAAUAUUGUAAUUUCUCAAAUUUAGACCACAUGCAAUGAGUUGGGAGUCUACAACAUCUAGUAGAAUUAAUCAGAUGUUCGAAGAAUCUCGGAUAUCCAAUUUGAAAUACAAGAUUGAUAGUUGACUAGCGUAUUGCGGCCAUUUAUCGAAUUUAAUCUAACACAAAUUCUCCUUUGGCAUAUUUCAACGCAUUUUCACAGUAGAACUAGCUACAACAUCAUCUGUAAAAUGAGCUCACUCGAUGAUUUUUGUUUUCAGGAAAAAAUGUGAGCGGAUUCACGGAUUGGAGGCAUUUGGGCCACUCGGCGGUGGAUUUUGGGUGGGGAGGCCCGGCCAACGUGCUGCCCCUCUCGAGGAAGCUCUUGGGGAGCAACGAGGCUUGCUUCUUCUUGCCUUGUUCCGAGGUCGGAGUCGGAGAUCCGAGCGAUGGCUUUAGGGUUUUGGUGAAUCUGAAGGACAGGUGGUUGUGUGGUUUUAGGGAGGAGAUGGAGAAGCUUGGGAAGAUGGAGUUUGGCUUUACUUAAUGUCAAGGCAAGAUGCUUGAGUGGCUUUUCAUUGUAAGCUGUGGAAGUUGGUUUUGUAAUUUGGAGCAAGUUCCUAUGGGGGACUUUUCAUUUCCCCCCUCCAAGUUUGAUCUAAUUCUCUUUCUUCUUUUUUUUCGAGAAUUCAUUGUGAUCACUACGCUACUUAUGUGAUAUGAUGGGCGAUCAUAUUUUGAACAUAAGUGAGAAUAUUACAUGUUAAAAUCAACAUUCGUACGUGAAAUUCAAAAUAAAAAUCGAUGGAAGAAUUCUAUAGUCAUGAAUGAAGAGGUUUGCCACUAACGUUUUUCUUAAUCAUAUCACGACCAUAGCAAGUGAAAGCCUAGAAUUCCGAAUGAGUGUAUUUAUCAACGCAUUUCCGGAUCUAUCACUUAUCAAAAACUUGAUUUGGCAAUUUAGCUAGCUAAAUUAAUGAAGUGGGAGUAAAACCUAGCUAAGUAUGUAGGCCGAUUAAGAUGAGAAAAACUAGCGAAGUUGCUAGUCCCAUGAUAAACUCUAACGAUUGGCCUUACCACAUCAUCAGGAGCCUUUGACAUGUCAGUCAUUAUCUCAAUCAACCACCUUACCCCAUUCUUCUUUUGAUGAAAUGCAACUGUUUCUUUGACUAUAUUACACAGACUAAAUUAAUUGUCCCAAAUUAAUCACACAAUUCAAGAAUUUAACAGACCCAUAAUGAAUCUCACAAAAAAAAAACUUAUAUUAUGAUUAGCUUUAUCUAACACGCUAUAACCCCCAAAUAAACUUUGUACAAAAUUUGAUAGUAAGAAAGAGUGUCUAAACAAAAUUUGAUUGAUGAAGGAUAAUUUCCUAGGUCUAGACAGAUAACGCCUUGACCUAAAUUAGCUAAAUAAGGAAAUCAAGAUAAGAAAAGGAAAUCACAGGGAAUACACGCCAAUGCAAAUAACAAAAGUUAAUCCCUCCCACAACGCUCGCAAAAUGUGUUUAAAAAUAUUAUAUAAAAUCAGUCGAUUUGCUACACCAAUUGCUCAAGUUGUUAGGAAUACGAGUCAAUAACAGAUGUCAAGCAUAUUCCUGUUAAUUUCCAUAUGUAACGUAUUUGAUAUGCAUUAGUUGGCUCUCCAUUCUAACAUCUUUAGCUUUUCUAACAUUUCAUCAUCACAUAAGUAUCUAAGCAAAUCUUAAAAAGCUUUAUCUUGUUUCUCAUCUAGAUUUUAGGAUCGUCAAGAUGUAAAAUAACUAGAGUUUAUUCCUUCCUAUUGGGGAAAUGAAAAAUAUAAGGAGAAUCGGGCGAAGAAAACGAAUGGAAGUUAACAUCAUACCGUUUUUUUUUUUAAACAGACAUAUAUGUAACGACCACAACGAGCUGGACCGGAAGGAUGAAAAAAGUCCAGUAGUGAGAAUCCUGAAGGCUUUGCUGAAAUCUAUCACCUUAUCCUCAAAGUGACUAACCAAUAGGAGUUUUCCUCUAAAAAUAAAAUAAAUCGACCGAAAGUCUAUGUGAAGCCUGUGAGAGGAGCUAGCUCUGCGACACGAAGAAGCCAUGGCGUCUCUCCUGGGAACUUCUUCCACAGCAAUCUUGGCCUCACGGCGCCUCUCCUCACUUUCAGGUGCACUUUCCUGCACAUGUUUCAAGCGUUUGGGGGAUAGUCCGAAUGACCCAUCUCAGUUCUGGUCCUCGACUUUCUCGAAUUCGACUCUUUCAAGCGCGGGGUUUAUGAGGUUUUUAAUGGGUCUGUGGAAUUUGCCUUUGUUGUUGAAUUUUCUUGUUUGCAGUGCAGAAUCAUGGCAAGAAAUGCUAUGGAGGGAUUGAAUUUCAGACCAGGAAAGGAAGGUGUCCGUGGCAUCUUGCCGUCACCAAUGUUGCGACUGACAUCAAUUCUGUCGAGCAGGUAUCGAUUCUUUCCUUUGCCUUUUCUUUUAUUAGCUCUAUGCAUUUCUGGGAAGUUGCAGCAAGAGACUGAUGUAGAUUGAUGCUGCUUCAAAUUUUUUUAAUUGCUGAGUUUUUUUAGUGAAAGUAGACUGAAAAUUGGGCUGCUUCCAUUGCAUUUAAUGAUAAAGUGAGGAUUUCUUAGGCUGAGGCAUUACGCUAAUUGAAGUCGAAUGGGAAAAAGAAAAUGCUUUGCAGUUGAUGGUUGUUUGUGGGUGGUCUUGUUGAGUGAAGUGAGAAUUGUUUGGGGGAGAAUUAGCAUGGAUUGCUUGUGUAGGAUUUUGUGAGCUGGAUUGGAUGGAUUUUUUUCAUUUUUCAGGCUCAGAGGCUUGCGUCUAAGGAGAGUCAGAGGCCGGUCUAUCCUUUUGCCGCUAUAGUUGGGCAAGAUGAGAUGAAGCUAUGCCUCUUACUAAAUGUCAUUGAUCCGAAGAUUGGUGGUGUCAUGAUUAUGGGAGAUAGGGGCACCGGGAAAUCCACUACCGUCCGGUCAUUGGUCGAUUUACUCCCUGAGAUUUCGGUGAAACCGCAAGGUUCUAUGGACUUCCAGCAACCGGGUUACGGCAAUUCUGAACGCAAAUUUAUCCACAAGCUUAUGCCACCCAGUUUCUGAAGCCAAAUGCGCUGGAAUACUCACGGAGGCAUAUCGGAGAGAUAAACGGAGCAAUUAAGAAGAAAUCCUUCGCUGUGCCUAACCUACAAAAUCAUGGACGAUGCAUACUGCCAAUCUACAUAGAGCACAAAGAGGUCUUCUGAAAUCAAACGGACCUACUGCGACAGGAGGGUGGGAGACGCAAAAUGCACGCGAAACAGCGAGAGACAAGGCACAACAAAGGCGAGAGUCUGAAGGAACUCCUCAUCGGAAAAGUUCACAUCUCAUCAGGUUUCUCCAUCGGAAAAACUAAGUGCGCUUGUGCAAAGCCCCUCCGCUUGACAGUACCUUCCUUGCGAUCGCGACAGGAAGUGAGCUCGAGCGUGGGAGAGGGAGGUGUUGGAAGAUAUGCUCGAAUCUGAUCUUGGGAGAUAUGCUCAUAAUCUCAGUUGAUCUUAAUUGUACAUAAAUUAGUUAGGAUCUUUAGAUUGAGAUUGGAUUCGAUUUCAUAAAUAUUUGUUUGCCUUUUAUUAUUUCAUCUCUGUACUAUAAUUACAGAAGAAAUGUACAUCAGGAUACAUACGAAAUAUACAAGAAUUACAGAUCUCUAGUCUUCUUCACUUUCUUACAUGGUAUCAGAGCUUUGGCUUCUGAUUGUUCUUCGCUUCCGCUCCUGAUUGCCCACCAAAGGAGAUCUGAAUCACACAACAGAUCUACCAUCUUGGUAUAGGAAUCACUCUCAAAGAAGACAAGAGCUACUGGUUUCUUACCUCCAAUGGCUAACAACCAAUCCAACCCAGAAGCCUCACCACCGGCGUAGAUCCAAAAUUUACCUGCAACAACACAACAACAAACAAUCCAGGCACACCCUGUUCAAUGGAGACCUACACAGGCUCAGUUUGGUCUAGGGCAACCCUUUGCGGGUCAACCGUUCCAGUGGGUACCUUACCCAUUUUAUCUCGGGACAAACCCGAAUACAUCAUCGCCCGUUUAUGUAGGACACCAGGGAGCCCACGUCCAAUCCGAGGCAAGCUCACCAGCCAUAAACGGGGCAAGCUCGACCCUAGGACUAGAGCCGGUAAGCGGAUUUGGAGAACCAGGUAUGGGAACGAAUCCCUACCUGGGGUUUUCAAAUGCGGAUUACCAAUUGGGCCAAGGGACAAAGACCUACCCGAACCUUGUGCUCGGAUUCAUGCCAUUCCCCGUCGCUGCGGUCACCGGGCGUCCGGAGCCUGGUGAUCCCCUACAUGUCUCAACAACCGAUGGCCCUGAGCUGAAACUGAUCAACCUUCAGUUAACCGGACCAGAGAAUUACACCAGGUGGUCCCGAGACUUCCGGCAUGCCCUUGUGACGAAGGACAAGGAUGGAUUCCUCGACGGGGCGGUUCCGAUUCCUGCCGAUGAGCGACUAGCCCAAUUCUGGAGGAAAUGCAAUCAACUCGUGAGGACGUGGAUUAGCAACUGCAUCUCCCCAGAGGUCGCGGCUGGUCUCCCACCAACAGAAGACUCGAAAGCCAUAUGGGAAAACAUCAAACAAAUGUAUGGCAAAUUAGAUCGGGCACGAAUUCUUUCCCUUUUGCAGGAACUCAGUGAGUUAAAACAGGGGAACAUGACCAUCACGGCCUGUUACAACAAACUGUCAUCCCUGUGGAACGAUCUCAAAGCAGUAGAAGAGAAGCUCGAGGGACCAGAGGAGACACUCGCACAAUACCAGUCGAUCAAAGAAAGGGAAAAGGCGACCCGAUUCCUUUUAAUCUUGAACGAUUCUUACCUGACGUUUCGCUCGCAGAUUUUGGCCAUGGAACCGAUGCCCCCUCUUGGCCGGAUCUUUCAAUUAGCAGUCCAAGAAGAAAGCCAGAGGCUUGCUUCAUCAGAAUCGGCGAAAGGAGGAGAGAGUUUUGCCCUGGCCAGUCAUGGUGAGCGAAGAAAUUGGGGAUCGAAAACCCUAGUGCUCGAAAUAGGGGUGCUAGGAGGAGAGCUAGGGUUUCAGUCGCCCGGAUCUGAGGAUUCCCACCUCCUUAAAAGAGGAGGACUGGACGGCUCGAAUUCAGCUUGCAGAUCGGAUGGUCUAAAGGGACCCAUCUAUUCGACCGGAUCUAAUGGUGGAGAUGGAGCGACUAGGAAGACAUCCGACGGUGGUGGUUUUUUUUCUGCAUCUAACGGCAGAGGAAUUUUUUCGGCAUCUACAAAAAGUUUUAAUCAAAAAAUGGGUAAAUUAUAUUGUGAAUUUUGUAGAAGGCCACAUCAUACAGUGGAAAAUUGCUGGAAAUUACACGGUAAACCCGGAGAAAAAGGAAAAAAAGAAGGAAAUUUCUACGGCCUACCGGGUUGGUGGUUCUAAUGUUGAUCAGUCCAUAACAAAUGAUCAAUACCAACAACUGAUGCAGGCAAUACAGAAAUUGGACAUCUCAAGCAAGGGAGGAAAUUUUUCAGGUGUUUCUCGCUGCCUGAUUAAUAAUAUUUCCAAGAAAUCCUAGAUAAUUGAUUAUGGGGCAAGUGAUCACAUUGUCUGUGAAAGAGCAUUAUUUUCAGAUAUACAUGAGAACUUGGAAUUUCCUAUUACUAUCCAAUUACCAAAUGGCAAUGUUACUCAUGUCAAAAUCACUAGAUCAGUCAAACUCAGCCCAGAAAUCAUACUCCAAAAUGUCCUUUACCUUCCAAAAUUUCGAUUCAAUCUUAUUUCUGUGUCCAAAGUCUGUAGAGAAAAUUCUUGUCAUGUAUUGUUUGAUUCUAACACUUGCUUCUUUCAGGCCCUUUCGACUGGCAUAGUGAUGGGCUUGGGUAGUCUUUCUGAAGGAUUGUUUCUAUGGAAAAAUUCUCCAAGUAAUUUUGAUUUAUCCUCAUUUCCUUCAAAUAAAAUAUUAUUGUGUAACACGACUACCAAUGAUAAAUACUAUCUUUUACAUUCACGAUUGGGUCAUAGUGUUUCAUUUCCUUAUUCUAAGUGUCAAAUAUGUCCCCUUGCAAAGCAAUCACUCAUUCCUUUUGCCCUUAGUAAAAAUCGUGCAACGCACAUUUUCUCUUUAAUUCACAUGGAUGUUUGGGGUCCUUACCAUACCCAACAUUAUGAUGGAUCGCGCUAUUUCUUGACAAUUGUGGACGAUUAUUCUCGUGCCACUUGAGUUUUUCUGAUGCAAUCAAAGGGACAAGUCUUCUCACAUUUGAAAACAUUUAUUGCUCUAUCCAAGAACCAAUUUGGAAGAUCUAUCCAACGAGUUAGGACAGACAAUGGGAAGGAGUUCUUCAACAAUGACUGCAAUUUUCUUCUGCCAUCUCAUGGGAUUCUCCAUGAAAGUUCUUGCAUCUAUACUCCACAACAGAAUGGAGUAGUGGAGCGUAAGCAUCGUCACCUAUUGGAAGUUGCACGUGCAUUAAAAUUUCAGGCGUCUAUUCCAGAAAAUUAUUGGGGCGAAUGUAUAAUUACUACAUCAUAUAUGCCAACUCAGAUACUCAAUGGAAAAACCCCAUUUGAGUUACUCUUCAAGAAGAAACCGGAAUUGGGGCAUUUAAGGAUAUUCGGAUGUCAGUGCUUCACUACUGUUUUGGGCCCUCGAGACAAAAUGGGCCCUCGAACUCGAUGGUGCAUCUUCAUGGGUUAUCCGAAUUUACAAAAGGGGUAUCGAGUCCUAGAUCAAUCAACAUUGGAAUUCUUCAUCAGCAGAGAUGUUAUUUUUCGCGAAGAUAUUUUUCCUUUCAAAGAAAAGGACUCUUCAACGGAGAUGCCAAACAAUUCUGGUAAGCCACUAUCUAUGGAGGAUUUUUCAAAUACCGAAUAUUUUGUGACAGGAACUCCAGAACCACUUAUGAUAACCCCAGUCACUCUUGAGAUUUCCGCACCAACAAUUGUCGAAAAUGGUGCUCAAGAAAAUUCCUCAAUGGCGGAAGAAUCCUCUAAUGAAAUUGGCAAUACAGAAUUAUCUUCAACUCUAGCUCAAGCGAAUCCUCCUCGACGAUCUGGUCGUUCUACAUGACCGCCAGCUUGGAUAGAAGACUAUGUUUGUGCAUCACCCAACUCACCAGUUAUUAACUACCCAAUAUCAUCUUAUGUUUCGUUCCAUAGACUUUCACCAGAACAUAGAUGUUGUGUGAGUCAAAUAUCAAAGGACAUCGAACCAUCUACUUAUGAAGAAGCAGCUAAAGACCCAAGAUGGCAGGAACCUAUGGGAGCUGAAUUGCAGGCACUAACUGCAAACAAGACCUGGGAUUUAGUCCAUCUACCACCAAAUAGGAAACCCAUUGGAUGCAUAUGGGUAUACAGGAUUAAAUACCGUGCUGAUGGGUUUAUUGAGCGUUACAAAGCUCGAUUGGUGGCCAAAGGAUUUAUUCAACGGGAAGGCUUUUUGACUACCAUGAAACCUUUUCCCCCGUUGCCAAAGACGUAACAGUAAGAUCCUUCUUAUCUAUUGCAGCUAUCAAUGAUUAGCCUUUACACCAAAUGGAUGUACAUAACGCUUUUCUGCAUGGAGACUUAGAUGAGGAAAUCUACAUGGAUAUUCCUCAAAGAUUACGGAGACAGGGGGAGAAUAGAGUAUGUCGUCUCCGUAAAUCUCUCUAUGGUCUCAAGCAAGCUUCCAGGCAAUGGUAUGCAAAAUUUGCCGAUGCUCUCACUUCUGCAGGUUUCAAACAGUCUGGAUAUGAUUACGCCUUGUUCACAUGGACUCAAGGUACGUCAUCUAUUUAUCUGAAGGUAUAUGUUGACAAUAUCCUCAUCAUGGGAAAUAAUAAAACUGCAAUAGAGAGAUUCAAGAAGUAUCUGCAUUUUACUUUUCAAAUUAAAGACUUGGGAGCACCCAAAUACUUUCUUGGAAUCGAGAUUGCUCGAUCUGAUCGUGAGAUUUCUCUUAGUCAACGGAAGUUUAUGCUGGAAAUUAUAUCAGAGGCAGGACUAUCGGGAUGCAAACCAUCGGUUAUUCCAAUUGAGCAGAAUAUAAAGUUGACCACCAAGGAUUAUGAUGCUGGGACAUCUGAGAAUCAUGAUCAUGUUCUCAAUGAUCCUUCAGGUUAUAAGCUUGUUGGGAAGCUCAUAUAUUUAACUAUGACCAAAUCUGAUAUAUCAUACACAGUGCAGACUCUCAGCCAAUUCAUUCACAGUCCCAAGUUAUGUCACUUGAAUGCUGCAUUAAAGGUCGUGAAGUACUUGAAGAAGUGCCCGGGACUAGGGAUUCUUUUAUCCAUGGAAUGCAAUAUGAAAAUGUCGGCAUACUAUGAUGCAGAUUAUGCGACUUGUCCUAUGAGUCGACGAUCCAUUACAGGUUUUUGCAUUAAACUUGGAGAUUCUCUUCUUUCAUGAAAAACCAAGAAGCAGGCAACUGUAUCAUUGUCUUCAGCCGAAGCAGAAUAUCGGGCUAUGGCAAAAACUACCUGUGAGAUCAUAGGGAUAUGGGGACUACUUGGGGAUCUUGGGAUAAAUUUGAAGAGUCCGACUAGGUUGUUCUAUGACAACAAUGUGGCGCUCAAACUUGCAGCAAAUCCCAUAGUACAUGAAAGAACGAAGCAUAUAGAAGUGGAUUGUCACUUCACUCGAGAAAAGAUUCAAGAAGGGAUAAUUGAGACUCGAGGAAUUGGAAUGGCGGAGCAACUAGCCGAUAUCUUCACUAAGCCCCUAUGUCAAAGACAGCAUGCAUAUCUAUUGAGCAAGCUAGGCAUCUUGGAUAUCUAUCAGCCACCAGCUUGAGGGGGAGUGUUGGAAGAUAUGCUUGAAUAUGAUCUUGGGAGAUAUGCUCGGAAUCUCAAUUGAUCUUAAUUGUACAUAAAUUAGUUAGGAUCUUUAGAUUGAGAUUGGAUUUGAUUUCAUAAAUAUUUGUUUGCCUUUUAUUAUUUAAUCUCUGUACUAUAAUUACAGAAGAAAUGUACAUCAGAAUACAUACAAAAUAUACAAGAAUUCCAGAUCUCUAUAGUCUUCUUCACUUUCUUACAGGAGGGACAGAGAUCGGCUGGAUUAGAAUGGAGAUGAGAGAGAAGCACUCUGGUUUUUUUUGCAGGUUUUUGAAUGGCGACUCUUUAUAGAGAGAGAGAGAGAGAGAGAGAGAGUAGCUCUGAAAGAGGCAGGACCAGAAAGUGGCGGAAAACCGACGGAGGUUCGUCUGAGCGACUCGUCAUGCGCUCGCCGGGAGUUCUCCCGAGGGGACAAUAAAAUCCCGAUUCUGCCCCUCUAGGGGAACCAAUUCACGUAUUGCUCCGGUAUUGCCUUUAUUUUGUCUACUUUGGACCCAAAUCAUCGGAUCUAAAUAGAUUUUAAUCGUCGAUCGCAUGGAUUCAGACACUUGGGAACCAUGAUACCAACGGCAUUGAUGGAUUUAGCGCAUGUAGAGUUGAGUUUAGACAAGCAUUUACCCUCACAUUAAUAAAAUGUGUACAGGACUCAAGGAGCUAUUCGUCGGUUUGCUACCAAAGCCCAUCUCAUGUGCUUUACACCAAGAAGAGGGCACUUUUGCUCAAGAAAAAUUUCAAGCUGGCAUUAGUAAGAACUAAAGAAAUUGACAGGAGAAUUAAUAUCUUAUUGUCAUAUAAAGGAGUACUUUAAAGUUGUGUCGUAUUGAACUUUGUCCCACCUAUUACACUAUUGAAAUGUUAUGUUUAAUAUACCAAUAAAGUAUCAAUCGCUAGUUGAGCAAGUUUAUCACCACAACCCCAUUAAAUAUGAGUAGGGAAUUCUAAGAUUAAUGAUAGACCAAAGCCCAAGUUCGUCUUUCACAGAUUAACCAAAAAAAGAAAAGCAAACUAUUUAUGUUACUUUAGGGGUCUACCGUACACUUUGCUUCACAGAAUUGAAUGGAUUGUCUGAGCCCCUUGACCAUUUUGUUGGAUGUUCUAAGUUUUGCUUUACUAUUUACACUCCCUAUGUAUAUAAGUUUACAAAAAAAAAAAAAAAAAAAUUCUCCGUUACUCUAUCGGAUUAAUAAAGAUAGGAAAACAUUUAUGAUUAUUCUAGCAAAAAAAUGACCUUUGAUAGAAAUAACCUUUUUAUUUUAAGUGAAAUGCGUACUAUAUAUUAGUAAUUAGCAUUUGGCGUGUUUAAAAAAGAUGAAACUUCAAAAAUUAAAUUUGAGAUACACCGCUAACUAAUUUUGUUUCAAAAAGGCUUUUAAGUAAUUUUUCCUCAAUCCAAAAUAGUAAAACUUUUCGUUAUCUAACUUUACUAAUUUAUUAGGCAAUCAUCUUUCCUACGUGUAAUGAAAGUACACAUUAAUUAAAGUUUUAAAUCAAGUAUGUUGAACAUUUCGCCCCUCGAAUUAGAUUCUGGCCAUUUAGUUCUCGGAAAAAUGAACUCUGUCGUUUAGACAAUCACGCCUUUGCAAAGCUGGUGUUUCCAAUGCGUAAAGAGAGUUACAAGCAACUGAGUUGAUGGCGAUGGAAAGAGGUUACAAACCGAGUUUUGACAAGAGCUUGGCCGACGCGUGUGGUAUUACACGGUGAGCCUGAGUCCCUCUUCGACAGUCCGGCCAUUUUUUGUUCGUUUUGAGAUGGCCGACGUACCUCAACUUCGGCAUCCUGGUCACGAUGGCCCUCAACUUCGGCAUCCCGGUCAUCCUUAUAUUCUCGGCCUUAUAGAGCUGAGUGGAACAUUUCGACCGUGUCCUACGCUGUCAGGCACGCCGACCUCCGAUCCACAGUUCCACGUUCGUGUAUUGCUGCGGAGGAUGCGAAGUUUUGCACCACAAGUUAUACGCUAAGGAUCUACUAUGGCCCCAGAUACAACACCCUUGGCAGGUUGGCCUUCCGCUGCGAUUCGUGCAAUGUCCAGUUAUAUUUCUGCCUCGCGAUUAAGCCGGACAAGGGACAUUCCAACUCAAGGCAAGAAGUUUCGAGUCAUGAAUGCACAUUGACCUAACGCUAUGGCGAGUUUAGCUGCAGCCUGUGCAGGGAUAUGAUAUCGGAAGCAGAUUGUUAUGUCUCUUUUGGACCGUGCUGUCUUUUAGCAGAAGAGACCAAGCUGCUCGGAUUCUCCUCAGUUGAUCGUCAUUGCCGCCAUAUCUGCGAGCUGCUCGGACUCUGUCAAGUGCUUCCAUUACUAUUGCCGGACAUGGCACCUACUAUCUAGAGCAAGAUUUUCUACUCAAAACUCUCGCAUAUCAUCAGCUAGGAGUGAAUGUGACAAUAAUGAGGAUGAUGCAUGUGGUACACCCAACAAAGAAUUGAGUUGAUACAUUGUGAUAAGAUUCAAAGGUUGCCGACACUCCCAACAAGUUUAACCUAUCUAUUAGUGUCAUCUUCAUCGUUGUGGGUAGUCCUAGAUCUCUCGAACUUGACUAAUUUGGUUGAGCUGAAACUACAGCAACACGGACAAGUAGGAGAUAAACUUUGUAUCGGUCAAUUAUGGUGGAUUGAGAGGUUAUCCAAACUGACUGUUUUAAGGGUCAAACUUCACAAAGUCCCUAUUCCUAUUGAGUUGGGUUCCCUUCCUCUGCUAACGUUACUUGACUUGUCUAAAUUGGACAUGCAAACCUUUCAGCCACUUCCCUUGUCUCUGCAGAGGCUAAGCCUUGAGAAUUUCAAUUCAAUUGGGUCACUCUCUCGGGACUUGAGAAAUUUGUCAUUUUUAAAGCUCCAUGGGUCUCCAAUGCAAGAAGUUCAACUCGAUGGGCUUCAACUUCCACAACUAAAGGUGUUGCAUGUGGAGUACUGGACACCCUUAAGAGGUUGAGGCUAUCAAGAAUGAGGAAGCUGAAAGAUAUUAAGGCGGUAAAUUGUCAAGCUGGUUGAGAUCCAAUUGUCUUGGGUGUUCGAAUCACUGGAGGCACUGUCUAUUGAACGUUGCAAGUCCUUGGAAAGGCUAGUUUAUGAGACUCUCGAUGAGUUGAUUACUUGUGAAGGGAGACUAAUUUUUCCAUCAAGAGUCUUAAGUAAGUUGCAUGCUCUCACACUGUAUCAUUGCCCUAAGAUACUCCACAUUCAAGAUGUGGAUACGUCGGAAUUGUGGGAGUACUUUCGCCUUUGGAGUUGGCCUCAUCUGCAAAAUCUCGUUGGUUUGUCAAACUUUUAAGAACCUGAAGACUUUAAAUAUCCAGAACUGCGAAAGCCUACGACUUGUUGUGGGCGUCAACGAGUUUUUGGGCCAAUUAAUUCUUUGUAGCUGCGCGUCGUUGGAAAGGGUGAUUUAUGUAUCAACCACCAAACUGCCAAUCGAUCGCCACUUAUUUAUCUUCGGUUGCGAGAAAUUACGAGGGACUGAGAAUGAGUCAAGGGCUUCCAGAAGGAAUAUGGGGCUUCAAAGCAUUAUAAAGUGAGUCCGAAUCAUUCUCUCUUUUUUUUCUUUUCGAUUUUCUUAAUGGAACUAUCACAAACAUCACUUUAGCUUUUAGGUAGAUUUGUAAUAAUUGCGGGAAAUCAAAAAACAAUCCAACGAGCAUGAAUUAUAUUUGCUUUUACUCAUUUUAAAACUCACUCCAUAUAAAUUGUUUUAUUUUCCGCUUGCGUUUUCUCAUAUUCUUUUCUUUUUAUGUAUACGAGAAAGUCCUAUUUGUACGGGGCUAGUUUUUAUCGUAAAUGAUUCUAGAAACUUCAAUGUCUGGAAAAAAAAUGCACACUAGCUCAGAGUCUCUGACAAAACUAUUAAUCUUGUUUUGCAUGGAGUGAGUUGUUCGGCUUAGCAAUAUUUUUAUGUAAGAUACUCUACUCUAUUGUCAUUUCUUACUUAAUAUAUUUAUUAUGGAGAUGAGUUUGGUGAUUUUCGAUUUUUACGGUGAAGAUGGAACUUUAAAAGACUUUGGUUCACAUUGAUGGAUUGAGAGUUGCUUGAAUUAGCAUGUGGUUGGGGUUGGCCAAUUAGGAUGUGUGUUCCCAAAAGCAUCUAAAAAUAUAUUAUUUAAGAUUUUGCAUUCUAAAGGGAACAAUGAAAAAUCUGAUUGCUGGAUAAUGUAUUUUCACAUCAAAGCACAAGGAUUGUUUCUUUCUGCGUACUUGAACACUUGCUAAGGGAGUAUAGGCAUAGUGUAAAAUAAGCAAAAAGUAAGAAGAUUCCUAAUUCUCGUCUUCUUAAUCUUUUCGGAAUGAUUGAAUCAAGUUUUUAGAUGAUUUUGAUCUGCUUCCUAAAAAAAAGUUUAAUGUUGGUUUAUAGCUAAACCCAUCAUUUGAUACAAAAGAUUUAAGUAACGUCUUUUUAAUAUUUUUAUUAGUGUUUUAUUUUUCAUAUUCAACGGCAUAUCUUUUUUAUUGGUUGUUUCCUUUUUUUCUAUUUUGCUCCAUCGACUAAAAAAGCAGAAAGCACAUAUUUUUUUCAAUCUCAACGAUUGCAAUUAAAACUUAUAUAAACAGAUAGAAACUGUUUUAAAUUCCUCAAAAGAUACUGAUGAAAGUCAUAAAUAGAUUAAACACGGUGGUUGAUUUGAUCGCAUGAUUUUGAUCAUUGUCGAAACUUUCAUGGAAGACUGGUUAUGAUUUUAUUUUGCAGGAAUCGUGCUUUGAUUGGAUCUGGACAUGUUUUGAAGGCUUGUGAUCACGUGAUAAUUGUUAGCACGCAGGGACGGACAAAGUCAACAUUUUAGGUGAUAAACUCUCUCGAGUCUUGACACUCCUUGCACCUGCUUACGCCGCAAAUUCUCGAACUCCUCUUCACGGUUGUGGCCAAAGAUAUUUGGUCGACUCCUUGCGGCUGCUGAGUCCCAUUGUCGUCACGACCGAGCGGAACUGAAGAAGCCAGGUCUCUUUGACGCCUCUUGAUGGACCACGGCCAUUGCGCCUCACCAUCUGCCGCCAUGUAUACUCGGAGCCUCUCCAAGGCGUUCUCUCUAGUUUUCGCCAUCGCCAUUUCCAUUUCUCUAGCUUGCUUCGGUUCUCUUUGCUCUUCUUCCUGCGGGUCUCCUCCUGUCUGUGGAGCAAUGCAGGAGGACACGUCUUUACUCUGUGUGACGGCCCGAGGCAGAGGAUUAUAUGUACUCGACUGGCUUUUUCCGGUCCUGCGCCCUAUUACUAAUGUUAGACUCGAAUCCACUACCCGUUAUGUUCGUCCUUCUUCAUGUAAAUUAACUAAAUUAAAAACAAAAACAAAAACAAAAACAAAACAAAACAAAACAAAACACAGAAGAAAACAACAGAAGAAGGCAUAACGGUCGGCCCCCGCUGCUGCCCCACCAUCAUCGAAAAGGGCCAAUGAUGGUGGGGGAUGGCAAGCCCUGAAGCCAGUGGCUGGCGAGGAUCCCCGAACCUCCACAGUGGCCAAUGACCAUCGCCAGCCGGCCAUCCCCCACCACCACCGGCCCCCUCCGGCGGGAGCAAGGGCCCUCGCGAUUUUGCCUUCUUCCUUUUUUUUAUCAUUUAAAUUUAGCUUAUUUUUUAGUUUGAUUUAAAUAAAAUUUGUAAUAAAAAUCAGAUAUAGAUAUAUUCCAUAUUUUUGCCAUAUCAUUGCCACAAGAAGAAAUAAAAUAUUAAAAAAACCCAAGUCAGUGUUUUCGAUUACCUAAGUUAGACAAAAUUAGUGGAAAAACUUGAUUGCAUAAAUUUGACAAGUUUUAAACUUUAAUGGCAUUUUCUGUAAGUUUUAAGAUUUAAUUACACUUUCAUUAUAAGUUUUAGGAUUUCUAGAUUACUUAUCCCUAAUUUGUAUUUUACCACAUUAUGAACUUAAGCUAUCACAACCAACUACUGCAAACUCCGUCUAAGUUUUGAUAUUGGAUCACAUGAUCUUGAAUUCGAUCAUUCACUCUUUUCACCUUCAAUAAUUUUGGAAAGGUAUUAUGUCUGCAUAUUUCAUACUUUCACUCUUCUAUCUACCAGCGUUAGCAUAAAGAGGUAUUCAGAUAUAAAACUUAGUGGACUCUUUAUUAGCUCAAACCUUUGGAACUACUUAUCGCGCACGCCGACUAUAAGGAAAGCAAUGUCAUUCAUGCUCUUCUUUAGUACAUUUCCAGGAGCACGUCUAAUCGUACCCUAUAUCCUGGAGAACUUUUGACAGCAAUUUUGGACCUUUUGGUUUCUAUCGGUCUUUGCAUAGAGGUGGUCAAUAUGAUAAAUGAAGAUAAAGAAGAUAAGAUUUGCGACCGUAAGACUGAUAAUCGCAUAGGUCGGGCAUCAUGUGACAGUUCAAAUGUCGCACGAUCUAAAGUUUUAUGUUAGCACUGCCCUGGCUUUCCCGCUGCUAAGAAAACCCACUAAGUUGAGACGCCGAGGUGUCUUCUAUAAUGACCUCCAGUAGGAAACCGAGUACUCUCAAGUCAAAGGAAAUAACAAGCCGAGAUUGAACAAUUAUGAAUUGUUAAGUUUGAGAAGUGGGUCCCAUAUUUGAAACAUUGAAAACUUGACGGCAUCUCAUGAACAACGAGGGAAGAAAAAUAGUCUUGAUUCAGCGAGGCACCAAGAAAUGUCCUCGGGAUUUCAUCCCGAACCGACAGGACACAAAAAUAGACAGUCCCUGAAUAGAUGCAGGAAGCCAGUAUGCUUCCACAAUCCAGAAGUCUGAGAAAUAAGCAUGCGUACGCUUUCCUGAUUCAUCAUUGCACCCAUGUUCAGAAGAAUGUCUGAGCAAGUAGGCAUUUCCCAUGUUUGUAUAGGCACAUGCAUCCAUGAUCUCCUGUGAUUCUAUUUGGGCGUGACUUGUGCACACUCGUGUCUAAGAGAGAGGGAGAGAUAUCUCGUUUGAUGCAACUUCAAGUGUGAAUCUCCUUGGACAUGAGCUGUGAUGCAAAUUUAUGUACCCUACGGAUGUUUUAUCUGGUGAAGGAAUUGCAAAGAAAUGCCAGGGGUAAAAGAUAUAUAUAUAUAUAUCAUGGACAACCCGAAGGACAUCCUGUGAAAUCAUUGAUAACCAGAAGCAUAUCUGCUCUUCGUAGAUGGGAUGAUUAAGCAUUAACAGAUUGUUGUUGGUCACAAGUGCUCGAACAAGCAAUUCUUUAGCUUCUUCCUGCUUCUUUAGCAUGUUGCAGAUCUGCAAGACAAUUCCCCUAGGCAGCCAAUGUAUUACUAGCAGAAGGAUCACAAAGAUGGUAGAGUAGACAAGAUUCAAUGCCAGUCUCUGUUCCAAUCGCUUUCUGAAAACUCAAUUGCUAAUGUUAGACCUUUAAUUAUAAAAAAUAGCUAUAAGGUACGAUAGAUUCAUCCUCAAGGAUAAUUAGGUUGGACUGUAGAAGAAAUCAGAAUUUCUGUAUUAGGGAGAUUCUCUUCAUCAAUUGAUUUCUAGUUGUACAAGUUCAAUAAAUAAAGAUGCUUAAUGUCAAUGAAUCCAUAACAAAAUUAUCAGAAGUGAGCAAACAUCCAGUAGUGUCUCUCUAUUAGAAUCUCCAUGGUUUCUGACUAUAGUCUACAACAUGCAUAUAACUGAUCACCAAAGCCAAAAAGUGCAUAAGCAACUCAUUUAUAGCAAAAAUAGUCGCAAUUCACUUACAUCUUCAAGUUCCUUUGUAUAAGCUUCAGCCUUUUUGACAUUUUCAUCAGUUUCCAUGACCAAUGGACUUCCAACUUCAGUGGAACUCGCCUUAGGAGAAAUCUUAACAUGAAAUUUAGGAUGGUCACCAGACACUCUGUUGGUUUUGCUUUGUUCGGUGUCCUCAUGAUUGCAAACCUGAUACGUAUGAUCUAAGAAACCAGCAAGAAACGAGUUUCGACUCUCUGUUGAAAUAGAAAAACUUAAGAAGGUUCUGUCCAUUUACCGGUUCGGUGACAACAGCUUCGGAGGAUUCGCUGAAACUUCUGAAGUGUCAAGGGUAAGAACAUUACUUCCACAAACAAAACCCAGUCACAGGAGCGAAGGCAGUGGAAUUAUUAGCACUCUUCACCUUUUUCCACCUGGAGACUCAGAGGGCGAUUCCAGUGGACUAGAUGACAUCCCCUGCAAAAUAGACACUCACCAAUUCUAAUGCAUUACAAAAUAGCAUCCCCAUAAUUGUAUUUGCAACACCCUAUUGAAGAGGUCUAAGGUAUUACUUGGAAGUGAAGAGCAAACAAUAGAAAGGAACCUCAGAUGAUUUCCCUUAUGAAUUGAGAAGUGGCUGGUUUUAUUGGUUUACCUGUUCUGUGACAACAGUUUCUGAGGAUUCUCUGAAACUUCUAAAGUGUCAAGAGUAAGAACGUUACUUUCCACAAACAACCCAGUCACAGGAGCAAGUAUAAUGGCGCUAUUAACACUCUUCACCUUUUCUCACUUGGAGACUGAAAGAGCCGUUUCGAUGGACUAAAUGGCAUUAAAUUGGCAUCUGAUCCCUGCAAUAUACACUCAUGGCUUCUAAUGCAUUACAAAGUAGCAUCCCCAUAAGUAUAUUAGAGCAAACAACAGAAAGGAACCUCAUAUGAUUUCCGUUUCAAGGAUGAAUUGGGAAGUGACUGGUUUUCGGUGCUUUUGCUACAAUGAGCUAAUGAAUGUGCUGCAUCACCUCGCAUUGCUGUAAUUUGCUCAGAGUCUCUCAUGGAACUGAUUUCCUCUGUAGGACUAAAACCAAGUUGAUCUUCUUUGGUUCUCGUGGCCCUGCGCACAUUGACAUCAUGAUCUCUUGAGAGUAUCUAUGGUUUCAAAUACCAGGACAUCAAGUCAGGAUGCAGGUUAGACCUCUUCGUUCUCAAGCUAGAAAGAUAAAAAGCCCUCUUGGCAGAAUUAAGAGGGUUACUGUUCUUCACAUCAACAUUUCUGACCCUUGAAUCCUUAAAAGAUUCCUUGCUUGAAUCACUGAUUUCAGGAUUCACACAUAUCUUAACAAUAGGUGUCAACAACUCAUUUAUACUGCCCAUCUUGCAGAGGGAACUGCAAAAGUUUAGCGCAAGCAGAUUAAGCAUAUGCAAAUUAAUGCUGUGUCAAAGGUCUAGUCCACUAUAUGCAAUCUACUUGCUAGCGUUGGCAAUGUCUAAGACGGGACAUGACAUAACAUGAACAGAAUCAAACAUAAAAUUGAUAUGACAUGACAUUGGCGUAUCCUUUCUGUCAUGCGGGGUUAUUUCAGUCUUGAAAGUAUAUAUCAUUUAAAGGAAUAUCACUCUCCCAUGCCAUGUGACCCAAAGGUUCAAACUGAACAUGAACAUAUCAUGCUACGGCAGAUUUUGAACCCCACUUCCAGGCUUGUAGUCUUCUAGCAGAUAAUUUAGUCAUGUUUUACCAGAGACAAAGAUGCCAAUAUCUACUUCAAAGAAUAGUACGAAAAAUUUAAUGAGCUUUCCUGGCCAAUAAUAAAGGGAGACUUAGACUUGAGAGACAAUUGCAAGUAAAGGUUUAUAAUUUCGGCUGAAAGGGCUUUAAUUUCAUCAACAGCAAGCAAAUAAUCAAGAACAUAUCUACAUGUGUUGAUCAAACUAGAAAUAUACAGCAAUUAGGAAAGUGUCCAAUGUCUCAACGCAAACUAUGAUAUACAAUUAAAAUAAAUAAAAAAUCUCAUUUUACCCUAGUUGAAAGUCCGACGGAACAGAAGAGUAAUAACCAGGGCAUCUUUAUAUCGGGAACAAAUAAACUUUCCCUUUUUUUAUUUUGAGUUAGUGUGUGGGUGGGGGAGUGGCAGCAGGGAGGAGAUAACUUAAACAUUACUUGUUAGAUACUGUUAAAUGAAGUACAUGGGAAAAAUAAAAUGCUAGAAUUUGAACAAAAUUUCAAACAGCUCAACAAUUACAACUCGAUUGGGUACGGAUGCCUCACCUCAGAUGAGAAGUGGGUCUCACACUGAUAUGGCUUCCAGUCAGAGGAGGUUGACUUUUUGUUUGCUCCCUUGCUGGUGAAUUUAGACCAAAAAGCAACUUUCCCCCAACUUGAGAAUCCUUGGCAUUGUUUCCCAACCUGUUGCACAUUGCAUGAACCAUGUGAAGGUAUAAAGCAUAUCAAAGAAACUAAAAUCAAAAAGAAAAUCUUCACCUAGUGUCAUUUAGAUGUACAGAAGCAAGUCUUUUGCUGCUAAAUUGAGUAAGCUUUCUCCCAGUUGAUGGUUCUCGAGAAGACUGACUCUUAAUUUCCUCUGAUCUCUUGGAAAACUUUGAAUGGGCUUGUCCAGGCUCUCUACCAGUAAAGAAAGAGGACGAUAUUUAAGUGCAGGUUCUCCGCUUGGGACAUUUACAUGUUACUAAAAGUGAGCUAAGAAGUGCAAAAACAUUAUGCUGUUGACCCAACAAUCUUUAUACUGAACUCUGGAAGUCACCAUAAAAUGCAUCAACAUGAUAGCAAAAACUCAAUGAAUGAGUGCAUCAGACUGAAAUCACAACAACUUGCAUUCCCCUCCUUAAAAAUUAAGCUACGAUGCAUAAGCUUUCUAAAUUUUCACAAAAUCAACCAUCAAGAGUCCAUGUUUCUUAAAAGGAGCCAUUAAUGGCGCAUUGCUCUAAUUUGGCAUGGCAGAAACUUGCCAAUAUCAUCCUAAUAUAGAUUCCCCCUCAUUCCUCUAAUCACUUAAAGGUAAGGGAUAAAUGGGACAACCUGAAAACAGCCAUUUCACUGUCAUGCACUACUUUGCUUGGGAUAAUACAGGCUGUAUCAUUAAGACUUGUCUCAGGCUUGGCCUCUUCAUCGUGAGCCUUAGUAGCAUUCAAUGAAUCAAGAAUAGGUUUAUUGCUUCCAUUUGCCUUGCCUUCUGCUCCUGGCACAUGUGGCACACUUGAACCUUCUGACUGCAUGUUGCCAUGAGAAUAUGUAGCUUCCCCUAUAAUUUCUUUCCUGUUACUCUGCUCUUCACCCAAAGUGGAAUUUAAACUUUUGAAGAUAGACAAAUCUUUUCUUGGAUGCUCUGGGAUGGUACUUAAAUUUUUGUCAACCCCGGGCUGAAUAUGUACCUCUAUUGGGGCUGUUUUGUCUGACAAAUAAUCUUGUUGGUCAGAUCCUUGAGAACACGUGCUGUUUGUCUUUCGAAAGAAGAUUGUUGUGGAAUUGAAAUUCUACAUGCUGCGGACUUUGGCACCCAAUCAUCCAUUCUUGGGUUUGGCAUAGAAGUUGAAGUUACAGAAGUUCCUACUUGAAUCUCUGAUGUACCCACACAGCACGUUGAUUGAAUAUUAUCAAUCAUAGUGUUAUCCUCACAGGAAUUGCCUCAGGAAGGCGUGUUUCCGAGCCCUGUUGCUCAUUCAUCUCCGAUGAUCUCCCUUUGCUUCCUAUAACCUUCUUCCCACCUUGUUCUUCCUUAGUCAUGGGUGAAUCAAGAUUAAAGCCAUCCAACCUGGAUAGCACAAAUGGCUGCUAAGUUCAUAGAUUGCAAUCACAAGUCAUGACAUUUCCCUUCACUUGAAAAUAUAACCUUAUGUAUCAAACAAUAUGCCAUAAUGUAUAAAUUGUGAAGCUGUCUUACCCAUUAAAAUCAAAGGAGAAAGAAAAUCUUUUCUUAAAAUUUCCUUCAUCAGGUGAUUCUGCUUCAUUUCUGUCCUUGUUUGGAGAUUUCUUAGAUAGGCAGGAGAAAUCAAGAUCCGGCAUGUCCACUUUGAAUGAUGAAAACUUGUUAAAGUCAGCAUCCACGUUAAAAUCGACAUCCCUGAAAAAGGUUAUUUAACAAUCAAUCCACAGAAAACAGAGAUAUAUCCCACUCUCAUAACAAAUAAGAUUGUAACUAGCUUCCAUGCAUGUUCACCAUCAUCCAUCAUUUUAAUAAUUUUUGAAGUGGCUGAAUGAUAUGUAAAGCAUGGCUCACUCGAUCACCACGGGCAGUAUUCUCCACAAAGAGGUAAUUGUACACGGGUGAAUAUACGUAACCAACUCAAGUAUGAAGAUAGAAUAUUAAAGUUACAUUCCACAUCCAUACUGGUUUAUUAUCUAGCUGCCCAUACUUUAUGUUUCACUUACAGUUUAUCAAAGUUGAAUUUCUGUGUUUUGCCUUUGCCAACAGUAUCAACGCUAAAAUCCACUGUGUCAUCUUCUGCCACAGACAACGACUUCCAAGAGGUAAGGAACUCCUUUCCAAAUUCGGCAUCUGUUGAAAUCAGAUUUAACAUUGAGCUAUGACCUACAUAUCUGACCUUCAUAAGACAUGGCCAGAAAUGUGUACAAGCAAUCAUCCUAAUCAAUGACAAGGAUGAAAACCAAUUUUAACAUUAAGAAAGCUUUAAUUUGUUUUCAAGUAGAUGAAAAGUAUGCUGCACUAAUUAUUGACCACAAUAUCCAAAAGAGUCAUGUGUCAGGCCAUAUUACAAAAAUAACCUAAACAGAUUAUAUAGGUUUAGGAUUGAGAAAUAUGCAUCCUUGUGGUACCAUUCCACCUCUGAAGCAAAUUUACUGUAUUUUGAGAUUUGUCAAGCUUAUACAGAGUACCUAGUAAUGAUUUAUCCUCUUUCUGAUUCACCACUGCAGUUUCCUUAGGUGAAUCUGCCAUCUGCAAGGGAAAGAGUGAGGAAAGCAUAAGAAAAAAGAGAAUUCCAAUGGCCCUUAGAAUUUACAAAAGACAAGGGAGAUUUUAAUUGCAAACCCAUUAGGUUGGCUAUACUACACAGCAACCUCCUCUCUUCGUAAAAGCAACAUCUCUUUGUUAAACAAUUGCAUCCAUAACAUUUUUGCACUUAUCUUAUGCAGAAGCAUCUAUAAACUAACCUAGGAGGGACCUUAGCCAGUCCAUUAAAGUGAAAAACCCACACAUGACAUGUAGACAGUUCAUAAAGGAGCAGCAUCAUUGACUUAUACAAAGUGGUUAGGUGGAGAGUUGCAAGCUCUAAAUUUAAAACCGUGGGGCCAAAAACACCCAUAUAUACGUGCCACUAUCAUAUAUCUGUGAAGAUUCAUUUUUCAUCCUUCCACAAAUGCAAAGGUAAAGGAUCUCCAAUCCGACAGCAUUGAUAAGAUGGACACCUAAUCAGUACAAUAAAGUAACGAUCAUUUCAAGAAUUCUCUGCCUUGGUUCAAAGGGACAUAAGUCUCUCAUACAUUUGAUAUGAAAUGUCUGAAGGAGUUCAACUAGACUGCAAGUGGAAACCACUAUAGCUAUUGCAAAGGAUGAACAAAUGCAGUAUUAAUAAGUUCAUACGGGGGCAAAGCACAGGGCUAAUCCAGUAUAAUCUAUCCCAAGAAAAGAACGCAGAUGCUAUUUUAACAUGAGAAACCAUAGCAUUGAGUCUUAGCCAAUGAAUUAAUGGCUGUCUUAUGACUGCCUAAAAUAUAUAGGUCCUCCUAUCACAUUCAGAUCAUCUGUUUUCCAGUACAGAGAAGUUCAAUUAAAACGAAUGUAAUUGAAAAAAAAAAAUACAUCAGAACAGCUACUUAUCAUGGCAUCAUUUCUACGAAAGCAGAUGCCAAGUAAUAGCAUUGUCUUUGUAUGUAAAUGCUGUAAGUCAUAGUGAUUUCCUCUAGAUAAGCGUCUACAUUGCGCUCAAACUGCAAGGAGCUAUAUACUUCCAGCAAAAGGCUUACAGCAAUUCUGAACGCUAACUUAUCCAGAGGCUUGUUCCACCCAGUUUCUGAAGCCAAAUGCGCCAGAAUAGUCACGGAGGUAUAUCAGAGAGAGAUAAACGCAGCAAUCAAGAAGAAAUACUUUGCUGCGCCUAACCUACAAAAUCAUAGAUGGUGCUCCAACGAACUCGAUAAAGCCAAUCUACAUUGAUCACAAAGAGGUCUUCCGAAAUCAAACGGACCUACUGUGACGGGAGGGUGGGAGACGCAAAACGAACGAACGCGAAACGGCGAGAGACAACUGAACGCGGAAUCAAAGAGGUGAGAGAGUCCGAAGGAACUCCUCAUCAAAUCCACCAUCGGAAAACUAAGCGCGCUCGCGAAGUACCUCCGCUCAACACUACGAAACAAUCAGCGAAAGCCCAUGGUUCAGAGGCACGGAGCAACGAGACACUGAAGAAGCCACGGCCAGAAGAAGAAAUCGACGGAUUGCGAAAGCUCGAGAUCGAUUCGCAUGUCAACAGUACCUUCCUUGCGAUCGCGACAGGGAGCGAGCUCGAGCGUGGGAGAGAGAUAGAGAGAGAGAUCGAUCGACUGAAUUCGAAUGGAGAUGAGAGAGAAGUAAUCUGGUUUUUCUACAGGUUUUUGAAUGGCGACUCUUUAUAUAUAGAGCGAGACGGAGAGUAGCUUUGAAAGAGGCGGGACCGGAAAAGCGACGGAAAUUGGGCGGAGGUUCACUCCAGCGUCGUGUGUUCGCCGAGAGUUUUCUCGACGGGACUGAGAAAAUCCCGAUUUUGCCCCCUAGGGGAAACAUUUUCACUUAACUCCGUUCAUUUCAAGAGAAAAAAAAACUUUAAAAAAUAUUUUUAUAAGAGUAAUCACUUCAAUUGUUUACAAAAAUUCAUAAAAUAUUCACUAAUUAUUUCAAAUGAUAACAAAUGAUUGUUUUUAGAAAAAUAUAAUUGAAACAAUCCAAUUCUGUAAAUUAAAUGAAAUUUGUCUUGAAAAAAAUCCAAUGAACCUACAUAUCUGAAUCCAAAUAAAUCUUGACCGUCGAUCACGUCAAUCCACACUUGGGAACCACAUGAUCAAUCACCUUGAUGGAUUCAGGGCAUGUAAGCUCAAGUCCAGAUAAGCAUCUACCCUCAUAUUGAAAUUCAAUGUGCUAUUGGUUGAUUACCGUGGAAGCUCAUCUCACAUUCCAAGUGUCACAAAAAAAAUUGGGCAUUUCCUCCAGGGGCAACUUAAAAGUUGGAUUGAGCAGGACUUAGAGAAAUUGACAAGAAGAUGAAUAUCUUAUUAUGUUAUAAAAGAGGAUUUCUUUUUUUUAAGUUGUAUAGUGUUGACAUUUGUCGUACCUCAUCUGCUAUAGGAAUGUUGGGCUUAAAGUACCAACAAAAUACCAACAGCCCAUUGAGCUAGUCUAUCACCGGAGUCCUAUCAAAUACGAGUGGGAAAUUCAAAGCCGCCAGUACACUUAAGCCCAAGCCCGUCCUUUGCGAAUUGAUUUAUUACACAAUUGUCUUUUUUAUGUGUAAUGACAAAAACUAUUAGUUAAACUUUUAAAUAAUAAUUAUUUUUCUUAUGGGGACAAUUUUUUUUUUUUUUUUGUCGACAGUCAAGCAUGGUUUUUUCGUCGGAUUUUGUAAAGCUCGUGUCUCUAAUGUGUAAUUAGAGCUAUAAACGAUUGAGUUGAUUGGCCAUGGAAAUAGGUGAUGACCGAGUUCUGACGAGCUCGGGCGAACGUGUUUGGUAUUGCAUAGUGAGUCGGAUUACCUCUUCAACAAUCCCCCCUCUUUUCUUUCGUUUCGAGAUAGUCUACAACCCUCGACUCCGGCAUUUCUGUCAUCCUGAUGUUCUAGGCCUUAAGAGAGCUGAGCGGACAUUUCGACCGUGUCUUAUGCUGCUAGGCAUCGACCGUGCGAAGGAAGGAGUAGAAGCAAUGAAGGUGAAUUUGAAGGAGGAGCGUGAACUGGAGGAACUAGAGGAAUUGGACAGAGAAUCUCAAAGUAAUCAUGAUAACAUGGAAUAACUGAUAUGGAUGUAGAUUCAGCGCAAUUCCAUUUCUUUAGGAAGCUAGGAGUAUUGAAGAGUCUUCACGUUACUCUAAAUAUGCUUGUAAACAGAGAUUUUCACUGGGUACCUAAGUGUCAGACUAUUGAAAUUGCUCACAAAUUUCAUGAUUGCCAAUGUACAAUAGUCUCAAGCUAGAUUAGUAUCAGACUUUGAAGCACUUUUGUAGCAACUUUCAAAUGAAAACUUUUCAUUCUUCAUCAGGAUUUCAUGGGACUGCCAACAUUUUGGCCACCAUUUAUUUCUCCAUGUUGGAAACGCUAGAACUGCGGAAAGAGAAUGAAUCGGGUGUGGCAGUGAGAACAACAGUUUCAACAUCAAUAACGACAAUGACGGCAGCAUCGACAAACGAAGGCUUCGCGAAAGAUGAUCGGGCUCUGCCUACAUCUUUCUCGUGAUCUCAAUCGGUCUAAAAUUAAUCUAUUCUGAGCAUGAAAACAUUUUGAAAACUUGUCUUCAGUAGUUGUUGAAAAAAGCUACGUCAAACUUCGAAGCUUUCUUGGAAGGAUAUUGCAGGGUUCAGGGAAGGUUCCCAGAAGCAUCUCCUUGCCCAAAAGAAACAAAACAAGAACUGAUAUCAUACCAAAAAAAUGGAGACUUCCUUUUCUUUUUUCGACAGGUAAAGUUACUUUUAUUAUUCCGAACAUGGGACCUGCAACUUGCACGCGCAUUUGAACAAGUACUUAGCCACCAAGUUUGAGCAUUCGAUCUAAUAGUCUUCCAUUGUUAAAAAAAAAAAAAAAAAACCGACUUUCGGUUUCAACCAUUUUGCAAGUUCAGGGAAGGUUUCCAGAAGCAUCUCCUAAUCCAAAAGAAACAAAACAAGAAGUGAUUUCGUAUAUAAAGGGCCCGUUUGGUUCGGCUUUGGGGGAAUGCCAUUUGGAGAAUGCAAAUAUCUUUGAGAGAAAGAGGCUUUCGGAAAUGUUAGACCGUUUGGUAAAUUUUAGCAUUGAAAUGCAACUUGGCAAAAACACCGUUUGGCAAACUUUGCAUUUGGAAUUAGCUUUUGGUAUUUUUUAAUUUCUUUAAAAUCUGAAAUCAAAUCCGGCGGCCGGCCACUGCCGGCCAACCGCCGGCGACCGCCGGACGGCCAGAUCUGGCCGUCGCCGGACCACCAGAUCUGGCCGCCGGAGGUCGCGGAGGCCAGAUCUGGCCUCAAGACCGCCAGAUCUGGCCGCCGAACGGCCAGAUCUGGCCUCGCCUGGUCGCCUGGCUCGCGCGAGACCAGGCGACGCCGGCCGAGGUCGGGCGACCUCAGGCGGCGUCGCUGGCUCGCGCGAGACCAGGCGACGCCGGCCGAGGUUGGGCGACCUCAGGCGGCGUCGCUGGCUCGCGCGAGACCAGGCGACGCCGGCCGAGGUCGGGCGACCUCAGGCGGCGUCGCGUGGCUCGCGCGAGACCAGGCGACCGAAUCUGGUCGGGUGCUCCGAGCACUGCUCAGCCCGUUGCGUGGGUCGCGCGACCCAGGCGACGCCGCCUGAGGCCGCGACCCACGCGACGGCGGUGCGUGGCGACGGCGGUGCGUGGGCGACCAGCUCCAGCUGGUUGAGCUCCGCCGGCUAAAGCUUCGAUCUUGAAGAAACGAUGAAGACGAGGAAGACGAUGAACAGUUACUUUUGAGGGUAAAAGAAGAAAACUAAAUUAUCAAUGAGGGCAAAAGUGGAAGAAAAAAAAAAUCAUUAAACCCCUUCAGCAUGCCGAAAAUGCUGAAUGCCCAAAGCAGGUCCCCACCUGCUUUGGGCUUUCAGCAUUCCAAAGGCAAACAUUUUGCCAAGUAGCCUUUGAAAGCCGAACCAAACACCCUAAAAUUUUUCCCAAGGGGCUUUGGGGGCUCAAAGCCCCUUGGGAAAGCCGAACCAAACGCCCCCAAAAUGGAGACGACUUUUUUUAUUCUUUUUUUUUUUCCGAUAGGUAAGAUACUUUUAUUAGCCCGAUAUAAGGAAAGGGUGGAUCAAAGAGAAUAAAUAAAAUAUUGUGUGCAAAAAAGCAAAGAAAAUAAAAAAGUAAUAAUACUUGGAAUGAGGUAAAUUAAUGCAUAAUGAAAGUUUAAUUCCUUGAUUUCCACGUAUGUUAUGCCAUAAUCACUUUCUUCCGAACUGUUGCACAUGGGGCCUGCAACUGCACGCGCGACAAGCCAGCCAGCUGUGAACGUCCUCAGUUGGCUUCUGCUAAUGGGGCCUUCAACUGCGUGACUGCUUUCACAAGUGUGUCGACCACAACUUUAGUUUUUUAUUUUUUAUCAUCGACCAAUAGCAUUCGAUCUUAUGGUCUUCGUCGUAAAAAAUUGCUACAUCCUGUUUCCACCAUCUUUUCAUAGACCCAUAGAAUUCUCCUGUAACUACAUUAUUUGCUCAUAACGUGUUGACGCGGAAUAUUUUCUGUUUCCACCAUCUUUUCUUAGACCCAUAGAAUUCUCCUAUAACUACAUUAUUUGCUCUUAACGUGUUGACGCGGAAUAUUUCUUUGCUGAAGAUCAUCGAGUGAGAGAGGGAGAGAGGGAAAGAGAGGUCUGCUUAGCUGAGCAAAUUACUGCUAUGGCAAGCUCAGAUGCUGGAACAUCAUUGGGAAGCAAGUACCAAGUGUUUUUUGAGUUUUAGAGGACCCGACACUCGAACUGGAUUUACUGAUGUCCUCUUUCAUAGCUUGUUUGACGCUGGAAUCGACGUGUUUCGAGAUGAUGAAGAACUCCGUGUCGGUGAAAGAAUCGAUGAAUCACUGCUGCAAGCGAUCAACAACUCCAGGAUCUACAUACCGGUCUUCUCUCAGAACUAUGCUUCGAGCCAAUGGUGCCUUUGCGAGCUCGCACAGAUCGUGGCAAACACCUUGAAAUCUGAAGGUAAUAAAGAGAUCCUACCUAUUUUCUUUGACGUGGAACCUAAUGAUGUUAAAUUGAAGACCCCACUAUAUCACAAUGCCAUACUCAAUUUGGAGCACGAGAAGAAGUUGAGCAAUGAGCAAGUAAAUGUUUGGAGAGAGGCCCUCAUGGAGGUUGAUGCCAUAAAGGGGUGGGAGGUGAAGAAAUACAAAGGGUAAGCUAGCUAUUUUCAAGACACUUGUUUCCCCAAUUUUCCUUAACACUUAAUAAUAGAUCUCAAAAUUCUAGUAUGAUUGAGGUGGGAGUUUUAUUAUAGUAAUACUAAAUGAUGAAUCUUUACGUCUGCAAAACAAAAUGUGAAGACAUAAUAUUCAACUUCUACAGUUGUUGCUUGACAAUUGCAUAAAUUUUUAUACAACAAUUUUGCUCGAAAAUCCCAAGAUUGCUACUCUCAUGUUGAAAUCAAGUUGAAUUUCGGGUCAUGACAUAGCAUCAACGUUGUCAAGGGCCUAAAAGUAUGUUUUGGAGAGACCUUAAUCUCCAAUAUGGACUUUUAGAAUAUCACUCCUAGAUUUAAGGUCCCAUUACUUAUCAGAUCAUUGUGUAGUUUAUCCAGUGUUUGAAUGACAUCACUUCUAGUUAGGUAAUCGUGAAUUUUCUCACUAAAAUGGAUUUUCAUUGUGGCAGCCACGGAGAACUAAUCAAAUUGGUAGUUGCAAAGGUCGUGGAAUGUUUGAAGUCAAAACAUAGAUUGGUGACUAAAUAUUUAGUUGGAAUUGACAAUCAAGUAGUAGCAGUAAGCAAAUUAUUAGAUGUCAAUUCCGAUGGUGUGAGACUCGUUAAAAUUUAUGGCAUGGGAGGUAUUGGAAAAACUACACUUGCCAAGGUCAUCUUCAACCUACUUUCUUCUCAUUUUGGAAAGUGUUGUUGUUUCCUUGAAGACGUUCGAGAGAAGUCAUCAAGAACCGAUGGCUUAGUUGACUUGCAAAAAAGGUUACUAUCCGAAAUCGGUCAUCCUGUAGGAACAAAGAGCAUUGAUGAAAUUGAUUAUGGAAUUAAGAGGAUUGAAGAAAUACUUCGUAAUAAGAAAGUCCUUAUUGUACUCGAUGAUGUUGAUAACAACAAACAAGUGGAGAAAUUAGUUGGAAACAGUACUUUAUUUUCUGGAUCCAGGAUAUUGAUUACAACUAGAAAUAAAGAUAUCUUGCAAGUCAAUAGACAAAAGUAUCAGAUUUUGGAUUAUGAAAUGGAGAUGAUGAGUGCUGGACAUGCACUUGAGCUUUUCAGUAGUCAUGCAUUUAACACAGACUUUCCUUCAGAUGAUUACGAUUAUCUUUCAAGGGAGAUUGUAUUUGCUACUGGGAGACUUCCGUUGGCUCUUGAGGUGAUUGGUUCGUUCCUCUGCCACAAAUCGCAAGAACAAUGGAAAGAGACAUUGCAUAAGUUAAGAAGAGCACCUCAUGAGGAUGUUUUUGGAAAGUUGAAGAUUAGCUAUGAUGCCUUAAAUUUCGAGCAACAACAAAUUUUUCUCGAUAUUGCAUGCUUUUUCAUUGAUGAAGAUAAGGCAAAUGCAAUCUACCUAUGGAAAGGUUGUAAGCUUUCCCCAAAUACAGGAGUUGCUGCCCUCAUUGACAUGUCUUUGGUAAAGAUUGUGGAGAAUGAUAAGUUUUGGGUGCACGAUCAACUUAGAGAUAUGGGAAGAAAAAUUGUUCUCCUAGAAGAUCCAGAAAAUCCUGAGGAGCGGAGUAGGAUAUGGAUUUGUGAGCAAGCUCUUAAUGCAAUAAGACCAAAGCAGGUAAAGCACUUAUGGAGAGAUCUAACUAGUUUUUCCAAUAUAUUCCACUCCACUGUACCUUCUUGGGUUUUUUUUUUUUCCUUUCCUUUUUAUAAUCCUUUGGCUCUAUGAGAUAGAAUAUUGAUAUCGCUCAUUUCCUAUUCUCAUUUGUAGAUAAACAAGAAAGUUCAAGCACUAUCUCUUUAUUCAUCUAGACAAAGUAUGUGUGAUGUCUUUGUUUGAAUUAAAUGGAUUGGAAGGUUGGAACAUCUAAGAUUCCUUAAAUUAUCUCACUUAGCCCUUGUUGGAGAUGCAACAUAUCGCCUUCCCAAUUCAACAUUGAUUUCUUUGAGUUAUUUUCUGCAAAAAUGGACCAACACGUGCCUAAAGAAUUUAGUCGUUCUUGAAUUUGUCAACGUUACUUUCCUUGGUAAUUCGGAAAUCUCAAUCAAGGUGCGUAAUAUUCUUAUUCCUAUUUUAUUUUCUUGGAAAGUAAUAUUCGAUUGUUCAUCUAUUGAGUAUUGCUUUCAUUUUGACAGAUGGCAACAAAAUUGAAAGUUCUUUCUUUCAAAUAUUGUCAAAACAUAUUCAAAACACCUGACUUCUCUAGAUGCCCGAAUUUAGAGAAGCUUACUUUCGAACGUUGUGACAAUUUGAGGAAAAUCAAUGGCUCUAUUGGGAAGUUGAAGCGUCUGAUUGAUUUCAAGAUUGGUAGCUGCAAUUCUCUUAAACAUUUGCCUGAAGAAAUCGGUGACCUAGUGAAUCUACAGUAUUUCUUUGUACGCUGUAAUGAAAUGAAGAAACUCCCAAAUUCCAUGUGGAAGUUGAAAUUAUUACGUGAGUUGUUCUUUCAAGGUUGCACUUCUCGUAAUUUAGAUUCAGCAAAUUCAUGGGAAUUACCUUGUGUUAUUGGAAAGCUCCAGAAUCUGGAAGUGCUUCAAGUCAUUAGUUCCUCUUUAAAAGGUCGAAUUCCUUCUGAAAUUGGAAGUUUGCCCUUUCUAAGAAUCUUGAAUCUAUCAAGAACUCAUGUAUGUGAACUUCCAGAGACCAUCAGCAUGCUUCCUUGCCUACAAAGAAUUGAGUUGAUGGAAUGCACUAAUAUUCAAGAGUUGCCGACCCUCCCAACAAGUUUAACCCAUCUAAAAGUGUCAUCUCAACUGUUGCGGGUAGUCUCGGAUCUUUCGAACUUGACUAAUUUGGUUGAGUUGUAUCUAGUUGAUGAUGGAAUAGUAAGAGAUAAACUUUGUAUCGAUGAGUUACAGUGGAUUGGGAAGUUAUCCAAACUGACCAAAUUGAGCUUUGGAUUUCACAAUGUCCCUAUUCCUAUUGAGAUGGCUUCCCUUCCUGUGCUGAACGAACUUUAUUUGGAUGGAUUCAACCUACAAACCUUUCCGCAACUACCACUAUCUCUGGAAAAGCUAACGCUUAGAAAUUUCAAUUCAAUUGUGCCACUCUCUCUGAACCUAAGAAAUUUGUUAUAUUUAGAGCUGUAUGAUUCUCCAAUGCAAGAAAUACAACUUGAUGGGCUUCAACUUCCACAGCUAAAGAAGUUGUGGGUGGAAGGCUGGCAACACCUAGAAAGGUUGAGGCUAUCAAGAAUGAGGAAGCUGAACAAUGUCAAGGUGAAAUUGUGUUAUGAAGUUAGUUGAGAUCCAAUUUUCUUGGGUGUUCGAAUCACUGGAGGUAUUGACUAUUACCAAUAGCGAGUCCUUGGAAAGGAUAGUUUACGAUAAUGAAUUGAUUAGUUGUGAAGAGAGGCUAAUUUUUUCAUCGACGGUCUUAAAUAAGUUGCGUUUUCUCUACAUGUGGAUGUGCCCUAAGAUACUCGACGUUCAAGUUGUGGGUACGUCGGAAUUGUGGGAAAACUUAAUCAUUGAGGAUUGUCAUUACUUGCAACGUCUCGGUGGUUUGUCAAACUUAAAGAACCUAAAGUGUUUAUCAAUCAAGGGCUGCGAGAGGCUACGGGAUGUCGAGGGCGUCGACGAGUUGGAGUUUUUGAACCGUUUAAUACUUGAUGAUUGCAUAUCGUUGGAAAGGUUGAUUGAUGUGUCAACCACCAAACUGCCAAAUGAUUGCCAGGUAGAUAUCGUUAGGGGCAAGAGAUUACCUGGGGUUAAGAAAGGAUUAAGCUGCUUCACCCAGUCCUUCAAGCAUUAUAUGGCGAGUCUUGGAUCAUUCACUCUAUUUCUUUUUUAUAAUUUCUUGACGCAACCGUCCACGAACACCAAUUCAACUCUAAGGUAGAUUUGUAAUAAUGGUGAAAAAUUAAAAAAUAAACAAAAAUCAAUUAAUAUUUGAUCUGACUUAUUUUAAAACCCACUCGAUAUAAGUUUGUUUUAUUUUCAGCUCACGUUUUCUCACUUUCUUUUCUUUUCUUUUCUUUUUUAUGAGAAAGUUCUAUAGUGCAGCAAAUCUAUGGGACAAGGUCAGCUUUUAUCAAAAGUCAUUGGAAAAUUUGCAAUUUUUAGAAAAAAAAAUAUAAAUUAACUCUGAAUAUCUCAUUAAAAUGUUAUUUUCACUUUAUAUGAAAUGAAUUGAUUAUUUAGUAAUUUUUAUGGAAUACACUCCACUUUAGUGUCCUUUCUUACUUAAUACUAUUCAUUAUGGAGAUGAGUUUAGUGAUUUGCAAUUUCCACAAUGAAAAUAGAACACUAAAAGAAUCCUAUACUCAUUGCACAACUUCAAUAAGAAUUUUUUGAGGGAAUUCUUUCAAGAACACAACUUAAAUGGUCCACGGAUCCACAAAUCGACUGACUUAUGUUAUUGAUGGAGUUUAGGAUGCAUGUUCCAAAAGCAUCUGGAAAUAUUUAUUAAGAUUUUUCAUUCUAAAAAAAACAAUGAAAAUCUAAUUUUUGAAAGUCUGCAUCCUCCCCGGUUUUUGACCGUCUUUGUUAAUGGCCACUUUAAACAUCGUUCAGACAUUUAUUUGUUCAGUUGUGAGGCAUUUCAUUUCAUUUCAUUGACCUGCUUCCACUACACUAGAUAGAGAAGGGGAAAAUGAGGAGGAAAUGCUUCGUCUACUAAAUAAAUAAAUAAAUAAAAAACAUAAUGUCGUACUAAUGUCAUGGACAUAGGUAGCAUACGAGUCAAAGACAGAUGGCUGUGAUGUAAAAUUGUUUACAUUUGGUGAAAUGGAAAAUCAAAUUUGUUUGAUGUGCAUAAUCCACAUGUACAAUUUCGUUCUAAUCCUACAUGAUUUACGACAUUUUCUUGUGCGAUAUUGUUUCCUCUUCUAUAUUGAUCCUUUUCUCAUAUUUCAAUCUCAACAAAUAUAGCCAAGACUUGUAUGUAUGACUUUCAUCAGUAUCUUUUGAGGAUUUUAAAGCAACUCCUAUCUAUUUGAUUGCAUUAUUUUAAUCAUGUCAUUCCUUUUUCGAAAGCUUUCUCCUAAAAUUUAUUAUGAUUUUUAUUUUUCAGGAAUCAGGCUUUGAUUUGACAACAUAUUUCGGACGCUUGUGAAGUUCUGAAGGCAACCCGCACGAUAAUUGUUAGAAUGCAGGGACGGAAUUAGCAUAAUAUCUCAUCGGGGUCAAUGCACUGAAGAGUCCAUAGGUUUCCAAUAAUGAUUUCCAGUACCGGGGCAUCAACUUAGGAUGCAGGUGUGACCUCAUCAUUUUCAAGCUAGAAAGAUGAUUUACCCUCGUGGCAGAAUUAAGAGAGUUGAUGUUCUUCACAUCAACAUUUCUUCGAAUCCUCACAGGAUUCCUCGCUUGAAUUAAUUAUUUCAGGAUUGUCCCAUCUCUUUUCGAUUGGUCUUAGACAACUCAUUCAAAUUGCCUGUUUUGCAUGAAGAAUUGCAAAAAGUUUAGCAUAGGCAGAUUAAGCAUAUGCAGAAUAAUGUUAUGUGAAAGGCCUCAUCCAAUAUAUGAAAUCUACUUGUUAAAGCUAGCAAUCUCUCCAAGACGAGAUAUGACAUAACAUGAACAUCAUCAUAUGUAGAACAAAAAUGGCAUGGCAUUGAUACAUCAUACUCUCUCAUUUCACGUGACCCAACAUGAAUAUGUCAAGCAACAGCACAGUGUGAGCCCUAUUUCCAGGCUUGUAUCUUCUAGUAGCUAAUUUAGUCAUACGUAACCAGGGACAAAGAUGUCACUAUCCUCUUUAGAGCAUAUUAUGGUGAAUUUAAUAUAAGCUUUCGUGGCAAAUAAUAAUGGAAGACUUAGACUUGAGAUACAAUUGCAAGUGAAAGUUUACAAUUUCAAUAGUUGAUAUGUAUAUCUAUUUUCUUUACAUAAUAUACAUUGCCAAAAUAAUUAAUCACGGUAGACAGUAGAUGAUAUGUAUUGUUGGUUGAAACGUUAACGCAAGAUUGGCUGUGAUUUUAUUUCUUCAGGAAUCACGUUUUGAUCAGAUUUGGACAUGUUUUGGAGGCUUGUGCAAUUUUGAAGACGACUCGGAUGAGGAUCUUUAGCAUGCAGGGACGGACUGGCAUAUCAGUUUAGUGGGGUCAAUGUACUGAAGAGUCAAAGUUUCUAAGAAUGGUUUCAAAAACCGGGACAUCAAGUUCGGAUGCAGGUGAGACCUCAUCAAUUUCAAGCUCGAUAGAUGAAUUGCCCUCGCGGCUGAUUCAAGGGAAAUGCUGUUCUUCACAUAACAUUUCUGAUACUUGAAUCCUUGUAAGAUUUGUCGCUUGAACUAGUUACUUCUGGAUCAUCGCAUAUAUUUUCGACUAGUUCUAACAACUCAUUCAAAUUGCCCGUCUUGCAUGAAGAGCUGCAAAAAUUUAGUACAAGCAGAUUAAGCAUUUGCAAUAUAAUGUUGUCCAAAAGGUCUAAUCCAACAAAUGAAAAUUACUUGUUAGAGUUGGCAAUGUUUCUAAGACAGUGAUGAUACAACAUGAACAGCAUUAUACAUAGAACAUAUGUGACAUGACAUCGAUACCUCUUUUCAAUAACUAGGAGUUAUUUCAAUCUUAAAAGUAAAUGUUAUUUGAAGGACUAUCCCUCUCCCAUUUUAUGUGACUUAGAAGGUUCAACUCAAAGUUAAAUGAAUCUUACUACAGCAGAUGAUGAACCCUACUUCCAAGCUCGUAGUCUUCCAUUAGAUAAUCCAGUCACAUGUUACCAAAGACAAAGAUGUCAAUAUCCUCCUUAUAGCAUAUUAUGAUGAAUUUAAUAUGAGCUUUCUUGGCAAAUAAUAAUAGAAGACUUAGACUUGAGAUGCAACAGCAAGUAAAACUUAAUGAUUUCAGCUGAAAAGGCUCUAAUUUCACCUAGCAACCAAAUGAUGAGAGAACAUCAAAAGAUUUUUUUACACAUAUCUACAUGGGUUGAUCAAAUAGUAAUAUAAAGCAAUUGGGUGAGUCUCAAAUGUCUCAAUGGAAACUAUGAUAUACAGUCAAACAAAAAGUAUCUCAUUUUACCCUAGAUGUCCAUUCAAUAGCAGAAGAGCGAUAACCAGGGCAACUUUUUAUGGGGAGGAGGUAAAAUCCUUCCAGUCAUCACCUCUGAGGGGCGGGGGUGGCAGCGGGAAGAAGAUAACUUACACAUUACUGACUCACUGUCAGCUACUGUUAAGUACAUGGGGAGAAAGAAAUCAGUAGAAUUUGAGCAAAAUUUCAUUCAGAUCUAAGGUUACAAUUUGAUUGGGUAUAGAUACAUGACCCCAGGUUGAGAAGUGCUUUUCACACUGACAUGGCUUCCUGUCAAAGGAGAUUGACUUUUUGUGUGCUCCCUUGCAAGCGAAUUUAGAUUAACAAGCGACUUUCUCUCAACUUCAGAAUCUUUGGCUUUGUCUCCCAACCUGUUUAACAUUGCGUAAACCAUGUGAUGUUAUAAAGCACUCCAUGUCCAAUCAAAGAAACUGGAACAAAAUAGAAAAAUUUCAUCCUUUCUCAUUUAGAUGCACAGAAGCAAGUCUUUUACUAAUAACUUGAGUAAGCUUUCUCCCGGUGAUAGUUCUAGAGAAGACUAACUCUUGAUUUCCUCUGAUCCAUUGAAUAAAUUUGAGUGGGUUUGUCUAGGCAUCCUACAGGAAAAGAAAGAGCACAAUGCAUGAGCUGCAGGCUCUCUGCUUGGGACAUCAACAUGGUAGUAAAAGUGAACUGAGAAGUGCAAAAAUGUAAUGCAAUCAAUCCACACAAUUUUCUACUCAAAUCUGGAAAUUAUCAUCAAAUGCAUUAACAUGAUAGCCAAAACCCAAUGAAUGAGUGCAUCAAACUGAUGACCACAAGAACUUGUUGUGUUCCUGUCCUUGGAACAUUGAGCUACAGAUGCAUAUUCUUCCUAAAUUUUCAUAAAAUCAACUAUCAAGUCCAUGUUUCUUAAAAAGAGACAUUAAUGACUCAUUGCUCUUAGUAAAUGGCAUAAACUUGCCAAUGUUAUCCUCUUAUAAGUUUUCUGCCCUCUCAUUCCACAAAUCAGUUAAAGGUAAGGGAUAAAGUAGGGUCAACCUGACGACAGCCAUUUCACCGUCAUGCAUUACUUUACUCAGAUGAAGAUUUGUGGCAGGCUUGGCCUCUUCUAUAUCAGCCUUUGUAGCAUUCCAUGUAUCAAGAAAAGGUUUACCGCUUUAGUUUGCCUCACCUUCUGUUCCUGGAACAUGUGACAUACUUAAACCUUCUGAACGUACGUUGCCACAAGAAUAUGUGGCUUCCCCUACCAUUUGUUCCAUGUUACUCUACUCUUCAUAUAAAGCAGAAUUUAAACUUUUGAUGAUAGACAAAUCUUUUCUCAGAAGCUCUAGAAUGGUACUUAAAUUUGUAUCAGCCCUGGGGCUGGAUGUGAAACUUCUCUUGGUACUGUUUUAUCUGAUGUACAACCUUGUUGAUCGGAUUCUUGAGCGCACGUACUGUUUGUCCUAUCCAAAGAAGAUCGUUCUAAGAUUGAAUUUCUACAGACUGCAGAUAAAGUUAGACAUAGAGUUGAAGUUACAGAAAUCUCUACCUAGACUUCUGAUGUUACUCACACAACGUGUUGAUUCAUCAUUUUCAAUGACAGCUUUAUUUUACGGUCUGGAAUUGCCUCAGGAAGGAGACUUUUCAAGCCCUGGUGCUCAUUCAUCUCUGAAAAUCUCCCUUUGCAUCCUAUGACCAUCUUCCCAACUUGUUCUCCCUCAGUCAUGGAUGAAUCAAGAUUAGAGCAGUCCAACGUGGAUAGCACAAAUGACUACUAAGGUCCUAAAUGCAAACACGAGUCAUGAAAUUUGUUUCGAAUGUUUCCUUUUUUUUUGGUAUGAUAUUGUUUCCCCUUUUAAAUAGAUCCCUUCUCGUACUUCAAUCUCAACAAAUGCAGUUAAAACCUACAUAUAUGACUUUUAUCGGUAUUUUUCAAGGAAUUUAGAACAGCUUCUAUCUAUUUUCUUGUGCAUGGUAUUCAUUAACAAAUAGGUCAAACACUGGAUAUUAGUUGAUAUGUAUAACUAAUUGGUUUGACUGCAUAAUCUCAAUCAUUUCUUUCCUUUUCUGAAACUUUCAUGGAAGUGGUUGCGAUUUUAUUGUUCAGGAAUCACACUUUGAUUGGACUACAUGUUUUGGACCCUUGUGAAGUUUGGAAGACAAGUCGUGCAAUGGUUAGCUUGCGGGGAUCGAGCUAGCAUAUUUCUAAGAAUGAUUUCAAAUUCCAAGACAUCAAGUUAGGAGGCAGGUGAGACCUCAUUUUGAGGGAGUACUGUUCUUCAAAUGACAUUUAAAAGAUUCUUUACUUGAAUUAGUGACUUCAGAAUUGAUGCAAAUCUUUUUUGUUGGUUUUGACAACUCAUUCAAAUUGCCUGUCUUGCUUGGAGAAUUGCAAAAGUUUAGUACAAGCAGAUUAAGCAUAUGCAGAAUAAUGUUGUGUCAAUGGACUAAUCCAAUAUACGAAUUCUACUUAUUAGUACUGGCAAUGUCUCUCAAACAUGAAUAUGUCAGGCAUCCUGCUUCUAGCCUUGUAGUCCACUGGUAGUUACUUCAGUCACACUUUACCGUUGCUGUCGGCCCAACCACCACUGACGCCAAGAAGAGGAAAGGAAACUCAGAGGGUUGCGAAGAAGAGGAAAAUAAGAAGAGAGCCUAGAAGUGUGAUUAGUUCCAGUGCGGUCGGUUGUGUCUGCAGCUCGUCGUCACCCAACCACCACCGUUGCCGAGAAGAGGAAAGGAAGCUCAGGCGGUUGUGGAGAAGAGGAAAGGAAGAAGAGGGCCUGGAAGUGUGAUUGGUUCCAGUGCAGCCGAUUGUGUCUGCAGCUCGUCAUUCCGUCAUUCGCCGUCGCUGGGCCUAGUUGGCCGACUCGCCGUCAAAAACAAGGUGAGCCUCACUCCCCCACCCCGCGCUUGCUUGCUUCUCGUACCCUGUAUUUACUUCUACGAACUUAAAAUAGCUAUUUUCGACGUGCGGGUACUUCCCGAUUUCGGCUUUGCAGGCAGGUGGUGAUCGGCAGCAUCAUUCGGGCCUAUCGUUCGCUUAUUGGUUUUGGUGGGGUUUGGCGGUGUUCGAUUUGAACGAAUCUUUGCGAGGUUACCAAAUCGAUGUAAGUGUCUUCACGAAUCUUCGAUUCAUUUUUUUUUUCUGUCUUUUGUUUGGGGGGUGGGGGGUUGGUAGUGAUGGCAGGAGCGCUCUCUGGUCGUCCGAUUAGAUCUGGUCUACAAUGCUAGUCCUUUUGCUGAAGUGAUUUUUCUGAUCGAUUCUCUAAUGUACUGAUGUUGAAGUUUAUUGCAAAUCGAUUUUGCUGGCUUUGUUGCUCCGGUAUAUUCUCCCCCUGUUUCUCUCUAUUGCUAAUAGAUUGCUACUUGUUGAUAGGAGAAAUUCGAAUUAUUUUGAGUACUUGUUGUCCUUCUGUCUAUUACCCCUUAGAAAGAGAGAGAAUAAUAGUAGAUUACAUGUGGUUAACCCAAAUGGUUGUUUAUGUGUCAACAUAUAUUGUAAGUUGGGACAAUACCUUUCAAGUGUACCUAAGUUUACGAGAACCCAUUGUGAUCUUGCAGUUUAAUAAUGCAACAGAAUGUGUCACUUGGGGGCUUAUGUACUUGCAGCAUGUAAUAUGGUUGAAGUACUAACUUUUAGUUGUGAAUGCUGAGAUCUUUCAUCAUGUAAUCUCAAUUUUUUAGUGCUUUGAAGUCUAGACUUGAUAUUACUUACUUUUAGGCUUUUAGGAUACCUAUUACUUACUCAUAGUUUGUCAUACUAUUUUAUUUUAAUUUUAUGAAAUUUACUCAUUCCUAUAUAAAUUAAUUAACUUCAUAUGCAUUACAUCACAAUGAACUUUUGAGACCUUUAGUUUAAUAUCGUCAAAGAGAGAUAUCUGAAAUACUUUUAUUGUCACGAGAAGAAGGACAAGAUCUAUAGUGUGGGAACACUAUAAAUAGACUCUUAAUCAACAAAAAGAUGAAUGUAUACAUUGUGGGCCUUUAUUGUCCAGGGACCGGUUCAAUGCAUCGUCAUCUAGCCAGAUGCAAGCACUUUCCAUACGCAAAAGUCGAGAAAAGGCAAUAGAGUGCAUUGGGUCAGGUUGUUGGGGUCAGUAGUUCUUCUAGUCCAUGGAAAUUUGACCAAGAAUCUAAUAGAAAAGAAUUAGCAAUUAUAUUUAUUCUUGAUGAAUUGCCUUUCAAGUUGGUAGAGUGUGAGGGUUUUCGGUGAUUUGUUAAUAAAAUCCAACUAAACUUCAUAAUCGCCUCGAGUAACACUUUGAGGCGUACAGGGAAGAAAGAAGUAAAUUGAAGAAAUAUUUAAUUGAGACAUCUCCUAGAGUAUGCCUUACAACUGACACUUGGACCUCGUGUUUUAUCUUUGUCCACUUGAGCUUUUGCAAAUGUGCUUUGGAAUUUCAAGGAUGAGCUUACCCGAUUUGUACUGGUUGUUUGAGAACCUCAUUGGAACAAAAUCAGAUCGUGCGAUUUCCCCUUUUUUGGCCAACACUGAGUUUGAUUUAUUAGGAUGCUUGUCAUGCUAUUUAGAUAUAGUAGAGCUACCCAAUGUCAGGACAUAUGCACGGGUUGAUAAUUGUUAAUGUUCAGAGCUAAGCUUGUGCUAAAGUUUAUGCGUAAGCAAUGUAAUCCACAAAAAAAAACCCCCAAAAACCAAAAGCCCAACUCGGUCUAGUUUUUUUGUUUAGGGUCUUAUGUGUUUUAGGUCGGGUCAGAGUGUGCCCCUCAUGAUGGGUCGGAUAACAUCAAAAUCCAACCUGACCCGACCUGACCCAUUGACACCCUUAUUCUACGUAGUUGAACACUAGUCAAGGAAGUAUAUGCAUCGUGUAAAACAAACAAAAAAUGGGAAGAUUCCCAAUGCUCAUCUUCCCAACCUUUUUGGAACGACUAGCUAAUUAUGAGAUGAUUUGGUCUGCUUACCAAGAAAAAGUUAUAAUUAUUGUUUGGUGGUACUACAAUCAUCAUUUGAUACCAAAAAUUGAAGCAACCUCUUUUUUAUAUUUUUAUUAGUAUUAUCUUUUUAAUAUUCAGCAACAUAUCUUUUUCAUUGAUUAUUUUUUUCCUUCCAUUUUCCAUAGAAUGGAAAAGCAAAAAGCACGUAUCUUUUUCAAUCUCAACAAAUUCCGUUAAAACCUACAUAAAUAAAUAGAAACUAUACUAGAGUCCUGGAAAGACAAUAUAUAGAUUAAACACGGUGCUUGAUUUGUUUGCGUAAUUUUAAUCAUUUCAUUCCUCUUUUGAAACUUUCAUGAAAGAUUGGUUGUGAUUUUAUUUUUCAGGAAACAUGCUUCGAUUGGACCUAAACUUGUUUUGGAAGGCUUGGGGUCGAGUGAUGAUUGUCAGCAUGCAGGGACUGACAAGCAUUUUAUAUCAACAUUUUGGGUGACAGGACUCUCUCAAGUCUCGACACUUCUUGCAGUUGCACUUGCUUACCCCGUGAAUUCUUGAACUUUUGUUCAUGGUGGCGGUCGAAGACACCUGGUCGACUCGUUGUGGCUGCUGAGUCCGGUUGGUGUCACAACCGAGUGGAAUUGAAGAAGCCGGUCUCUUUGACGCCUCUUGACUCAUUAGGGCCAUGCUGCAUUUCCAGUUUUCGCCAUCGCCAUUUCUAUUUCCCACGCUUGUUUCAGUUCUCUUUGCUCUUCUUCCUGUGGGUCUCUUCCUGUCUGCGAUUUGCUUGACCAGAAUUCCAUGGACAAGAUAGAAUGGUUUGUUGGGGUUCUAAGUCGUUUCUUUAAUUAUGGAUUGCUUUUUAGCUGUCACAACUGUUUUUGGAACGAGAUCAUUACGGAGCAAUGCAGGACAAGGACUUCGUCUUCACUCUGUCUAACGGCAUGAGACAGAGGAUCUUAUCAUUCCAUGGUUUAUUGGAUUUGAUAUUGGAAUGAGAAUUUAAAUUUCUUUUGCGAUCCUGACUUUAUUCUCUCAACGGUGAAGAGUCUGAAUGUCUGCUAAGAAUGACUGACUUCAAAUACCAGAUUACCAGGACAUCAAGUUAGGAUGCAGGGGAGACCUCAUCAUUUUCAAGCUAGAUAUAUGAAUUGCCCUUGUGGCUGAUUAAAGAGAGGUACUCUUCUUCACAUCAACAUUUCUGAUCCUAAUAUACUCAUUAAUUCCUUGCUUAAAUCAGUUACUUCAGGAUCAAUGUGUAUCUUUUCAAUUGGUUUCGACAGUUCAUUCAAAUUGCCCAUCUUGGAUGGAGAACUGCAAAAGUUUAGUACAAGCAGAUUAAGCAUUUAUGCUGCGUCAAAGGCCUAAUCCAAUGCACGAAAUCUACUAGUUAUAGCCAGGAAUGUCUCAAAGACGGGAUAGGACAUGACAUGAACAGCAUCAUACGUAGAACAGAUACGAUAUGACAAUUGAUACAUCUUUUCUAUAAUCAUAAGUUUUUUGGGCCUUAUAAGUGACCAUUGUCUCAAAGAAUAUCACUCUCCCUUUUCAUUUGACUCAAAAGGUUCAACUCAAACAUGAAUAUCUCAGGCUAGCUAGAGCAGAUUGUGAACCCUACUUCCAGGCUUGUUGUCUUCUAGGAGCUGAUCUAGUCAUAUGUUACCAGAGACAAAGAUGUCAAUAUCCUCUUUAAAGCGUACUAUGGUGAAUUUAAUUGAGCUUUUCUGGAAAGUUAUAAUGGAAGAACUUAUACUUCAGAUACAAUUGCAAGUAAAAAUUAGUAGUUUCAGCUGAAAUGCUAUCAUUUCACCAAUGGCAAGAAAAUGACCAUGGACGUUGGAAGAUUUUUCACAUAUGUAAACAUAUGCAAUUAGGAGAGUGUCUGAUGUCUCAAUGCAAACUACGACAUACAAUUGAACAGAAAAUAUCUCCUUUUACCCUAGUUGGAAGUCCAUUGGAUAGCAGAAGAGUGAUAACCAGAGCACCUUUAUAUGGGAAGGAGGUAAUAUUUUUCCCUUUUUUUCCCCUCUGUAACUAAACAUGAUCAAUGAUAGGAUUAUUCUCACAGUCAGGAAUUGUCUCAGGAAGACGAGAUCUUGAGCCCCAGUGCUGGUUUAUCUCUAAAUAUCAUCCUUUGCUUCCUAUAACCUUCUUUCCACUUUGUUCUCCCUCAGUCAUGGGUGAAUCAAGAUUAAAGCCAUCCAACCUGGAAAGCCUAAAUGACUGCUAAGAUCCUAAAUUGCAAUUGCGAUUCAAGUUUGACCACCAAAAAAAAAAUCACGGGUCAAGACAUCUGUUUCAAAUGUUUCCCUUCAGUCGAAAAUAUAAUCUUAUGUAUUGAAGAAUAAUCCCAUAUGGAUGCAUUUUGAAGCUGUCUUGCUCAUUAGACAAAGAAAAGCUUUUAUUGGAAUUUCCUUCACUAGGUGAUUCUGCUUCAUUUCAGUCUUCGUUGUUUGAAGAUUUCUUAGAUGGGAAGGAAAAAUCAAGAUCUGGCACGUCCACUUUGUGUUGGAGAAAUCUUUCCAGAAGAUUUUGAAGCUGACAAAACAUUUCUAUCAGUCUAGUCUUGAUAUCAUUGGUUUAAAGUCUCAAGACUUUGUAAUCUAAAGUCUCAAGACUCAAGACUCAAGACUCAAUAUUAUUCUCACUGACAGUCUUUUUAAUCCAGUGGCGUAGGAUAUCCGAAGCCGAAGUAUAUGGUUGGGGAUUUGAUCCAAUCCUCUGGAAUAGAUACCUUGGUUGGAUAAUCAUUUUUUAUUCUUUUGAUUCUUAUCUAAGAUCAAUUGAAGAUCUGAUGGUCGACGAAACAUUCUUGGAAUGUUCUAUUCUUGGAAACCAAAAUCCUGAUUGUAUGGGCGAACAGGAUUGAUGGGCUAUCAUCAGAUUCCUUAAAUAGCUCGGAUGAUCUUCUUAAUUGAUUCCGUCCAACGGGUAGAUUGGAGGAAUUCCUUUGGUAAGUGCCAACGGCUAUGAUGGCAUAAAGGAGUAUAAAAGGAAGACGUUCUAGUUGUUCUAAGUGUGUGAUCGAUAGAUAAAUUCCAGAGUCUGAAGAACCUUGAUUGUUAGUCGAGACAGUUCGAGCGAAAUUGUAUACACAGAGAGUGGUUGUACUUGGUGAUACCUUGAGCGAGUGUAGUAGAUCAUCUACAUCGAGAAAUCAAGGAAGAUCAACACUGUAACAUCUCUUUGUUCAUAGUGGAAUCCAGCCAAUCGGCUGUCAGUGCAGAAGAGUGGACGUAGGCUUGAAUCAAGCCGAACCACUAUAAACCUCGUGUUUAAUUCUCUCUUUCCUUUACUCAGUCUUACGAUUGUUUUUAAUCCUUCAUCUGUUUAAGUAUUGCGCAAACUGCAAGAAAAUAUUCAUAAACCUAUUCACCCCCCUCUAGGUACUCGUACUAGCAUUAUCACUUUGAACAAUGACAAUUUGUCAUAAUCAGUAUCCAGGUAAAAUGGACAUCACUGAAAUAGGUUUUUUCAUAUUUAAUCCACAGAAAGCUGAGAUAUAACCCUCUCUCAUAAUAAUGGAGCUUGCAAACAAGCAUUCAUGCAUCUUCAGUGUCCUCCAUCGUUUGGAUGAUAUUUGAAGUGGUGGGAUGUAUGUAAGGCAUGGCUCACUUAAUCACCAUGGGCAUUAUUCUCCACAAAGAAGUAAUUGUACGGGGAAUAUACGUAAUCAACACUAGUUUGAACAUAAGAAUAUCCAAUUUAGAUUCCACAUCCAUACUAGUUUACUAUCUAACAACAUAUACUUUAAUUUUCACUUACAGUUUAUUAAAGUCAAAUUCCUUCAUCCUGCCUUUGCCAACUAUAUCAGAGCUAAAAUCUAUUGUGUCAUCUACUGCCAUGGACGACGACCUCCAGGAGAAAAGGAACUCCAGUCCAAAUUCAGCAUCUGUUGAUUUAUGACCAACAUAUCAGAUUGUCAUAUGACAUGGCCAGAAAUAUGUAUAUACAAUCUUCCUUUUAAAAUUAAGAACGCUUUGAUUUGAUUUUCGAGUAGAUACAAAGCAUGAUGCACUAAGAGAAAGGAGAAUCCCAGUGGCCCCGGAAUUUGCUAAAGAAAGGAAAGAACAAAAUUGGGAACCCCUUUGAGUUGGCUAUAGUACACAGCACCUCCUCUCUUUGUGAAGACAGCAUCUCUUUGUCAAAACAUUGCAGCUAUAACAUUCUUGCACUUAUCUCUUUUGCAGAAGCAUAUGUGAACUAGCCUUUAAGGGACCUCAGCCAGUCUAUUAAAGUUAAGAGCCCAAAAGUUGACAUAUAAACAGUUCAUACAGGAGCAGCACUUACUGAUACAACGUUGUCAGGGGGAGUGUCGCAAGCUUUAAAUUUAAGAUUGAGCGACCAAAAACAUAAACAUUUACAUGCCAUGGUCAUAUGUUUCUGAAGAUUCACUUCUCAUCAAUCCAUAAAUGCAAAUGUAAAGUAUCUUCGAUUUGACAGCAGUAAUUAAAUGGCCAUCUAACCACCCCGACAAUAGUGACGAUCAUUUCAAGAUUUCUUUGCCUUGAUUCAAGUGGGACAUUAGUCUCUCAUACUUCUAAUAAGAAAUGUCUGAAGAGGUUCAACUAUACUGCAAGGGGAUCCACUAUAGCUAUUGCAAAAGAUGAACAAUUGAUGUAUUGAACAGUUCAUAGAGGGGCAAAGCCGAGGGCUAAUCCAAUAUAAUCUAUGCCAAGCAAAGAGCAAAGAUGCUAAUUUAACAUGAGAAAUGAUAGCAUUGAGCUUUAGCAAUAAACUAAGGGCCGUUUUAUGACAGCCUGAAAAAACAUAGGUCCUAUCACAUUCAGAUCAUCCACUUUCCAGCACAAUUAAAUUCAAUUAAAAUGAAUGACUUGUAAAAAUAGAUAUCAGAACAGCUUCUUAUGAUGUCAUCUUUUCUUGGAAAAGAGAUGCUGUGAAAUAGCAUACUCUGUGUAAAAUGUGUGCCCUGAGUAGCGAAAAUUUACUGUCAUACCUCAGAAGUUCAGACUGUGAGCAGGAAAAUGCUGUAAGUCAUAGUGGUUUUGUCUACACAAGCGUUUACAUUACGGUGAAACUGCAAGGGACUAUAGACUUCCAGCAAUGGGCUUAUAGCAAUUCUGAAUAUAAAUUUACAUAUAAGCUUGUUUCAUAGGAAACUACACGACGCAGUUUUGGACGUCAAAUGCGCCAAUACCCAGAGACAUAUUCGAGAGUAAACAUAAUAAUUUAAAAUAUAGAAAUUUUCACUUUGCCCAACCUACAAAAUCAUAGAAGAUGCUCACGAAUGAACACGAUAAAGCAAACCAACACAGAUCACAAAGAGGGCAUUCCUAAAUCAAACUGACCCACUGUGAUGGAGGAUGGACGCGAAAUGAACGUGACAGUGAGAGAGAAGGCACGACAAAGCGAGAGUCCAUCGGAACUCUUCAUUUUGUAUCUCAUCACAUUCACCACCGCAAAACUUUGCGCCCUCACGAAUGACCUCUGUUUUUAACACUACGAAACAAGCAGCGAACACCAAUAUCUCAGAGCUGCGAGCAACGAAGAUGCAACGGAACUCCUAAGAAGCCUCAUAACCGAAGGACAUCGUUCGACAGAUUGAAAAAGCUCAAGAUCAAUGUGCAGGUCAACACAGAAUGAAUUACUAGACUGAGACAAGCAUAGGAUCCACGGGUACCUUACUUGCCAUUGUGACAGCAGGCGAGGUCGAGCGAGGCAGAGAGAGAUCACCUGCAUUCGAGUCGAGAAUUGAUGCUGAACUGAGACGAAACGUGAAUGGAAAUUGAGAUCACUUUUCCCGGACGAGAGAGGAGCGAACUGGUUUUCUGAGGCUUUGAAUGGCAACCGUAUAUAUAGAGUAGCUUCGAAUAAAUUUCCGACUUUGCCCUUCGGUGGGGGUCAUUUUUCACGAAGUUGCCCCCGAUAAUGCUCUAAUAUGUCUCAAAUAGGCCUCACGAUUAAGUCUUGCAUGGGCCUGGAUCCUUUUGAUCCAAACAAAUAUUGGUAGUAGCCACGUGGGCCCACAUUGGCCCCAACAUGAUCAACGGCCCUGACAGAAUUGAGACACGUGGACACGGGAGUAGGGAUCGGAGAAAGCCAAAAGGAAAACAACUUAAUCUACUUUUCUAAUUUUUAAAUAUUUAGCUCAUAUGACCAAACUAACAUUGUCUUCUUUGCCAAUGUAAUCGCAGUUUAAAUGAUAGGACUCUUACAAUUUCAGUGACCAAACUAACAUUGUCUUAUUUGCCAAUGUAAUCGAAGCUUAUAUGAUAGGACUCCCCUCUCCCCAAACAUGGAUUGAUUAAGAAUCAAGGGAUAAUCAAAGUUCUUAUCCUAAGCACCUUCACAAUUUAACACUUGAAAUCAUUGAAAGUAGUUUGAAUUAUGCAUAAAUGUAGUAUCUUGAAGGAUUGCUUCCAUUACAUGUAAAGUUGACAUUUAUCUUCUUAAUCUAGGGCCACAUAGCACAUCAUCCAACCAAUUGCAAGUUGACACGUGAUGUAAUAAAUAUUCAGAAACUACUAAAAUGCACAUGAUUAUGAAUUAAAUUAGCAAUGUAGACUGUAGAAAAUGCAUGAAAAAUAUAACUUGAAGAAGUAUUAUAGAAUCCAAACAGAUUUUGACUGUUGAUUACCUUGGAUCUGUACUUGGAAACCACAUGAUCAAAUGAUCUUGAUGGAUUCGAGAUAUGUAGACUUGCGUCUGGACAAGCAUUUAUCCUCAUGUUGAUAAAAUGUGUGUUGAGCUCGUCGAUUGCUAUUCAAGCCCAUCUCACACGCCUAUUGUCGCACCAAGAAGAGGGCACUUUUGUCUGAGAGUAACUUAAAGCUGGUUUGAGUAGGAAUUAAAAAAAUUCACAAGAAAAAUGUACGUCGUAUCAUUAUAUAAGGAGGAUUUGUUAAAAGUUGUGUUGUAUCACUAUUGGAACAAUGGUUUUAACGUCCCACUAAAGCAUUACCUAUUUGCUGAGCAAGCCCAUCACCGCGGCUUCAGUAGAUAUGACCAAGCCGACGAUUCACCUGAACCAAAGCUUGUCCUGCGUAGAGAGACUAACUAAAAAAAAAAGCUAAGUAAUUAUGUUUAUUUGAGGCUCUGGCGUAUACUUUGCUCCACAAAAUUGAAUGGGUUGUUUUUUUUUUUUUUUUUUUGGCCCCCUUUUUGGUCAUAGAAUGGGUUGGUCGUGCCUCUUGAAUUUUAUGUUGAAUGUCUUACAUUUGUUUUUCUCUGAUUAUUUUUACUACCUCGAAGUUAUUAUGUUUUUGCGAGCUUUAUGAAUAUUUUUAGCAAGCCAUACGUUCGGGUAGGUAAAGAAUGCAUAUAUGCGCGACAAACUUUUCUUCUAGUCAACAAGGAGUUGCGAACGUUUUUAGACGAGACUGGACGAGAAGGGGGGGCAAAGCCCUGCCCUCAUAAAACUACGCGUAGAAAUUGAUCAUGCAAAGGAAGAAGUAGAAGCAAUGAAGAUGAAUUUGAAGGAUAGGGAGCGCGAAAUGGUGGGAACUAGAGGAGACUGCUAACACCUUCACCACCAUUUAUUACUGCGGAAUGGAAAAUUUGCAACCGCAAAAGAGGAUGGACAUCGGUGCAGCAGCGAGUUCAACGGCAUCAACAUCCAUGGCAACAAUGACAAUAGCAUCCAAAAACGAAGGCUUUGAAAAAGUUGAUGAUGGGGGUUUACAUCUUUUGCCCAAAUGGUUUAAGAUUAAUCUGUUCUAAGUCGCACUUAGAUGCUUUCUUAGAAGGACAUGGAGGUUCAGGGAAGAUUCCCAGUAGCAUCUCCUACUUCAAAUGAAACGAAACAAAGAACUAAUUUUGUCCGAUACAAAGACAAAAAACAAGGAACAGCACUAGAAUCAACAGGUGGAGCUACGCCUAGACAUCAUUAAUGAAACAACGAACGACUAAUGAUCAAUUCUCCAAGUCAAUCAUGGUGUCUUAUCAGACGGUACAGACACAAAUUCCCUCCCCCUCAAGAAUAGAGGUGUUAAACGGGUGGAUCAGGUCGGGUUUGAAUCGGGUCAUUAAUGAGUCGAUCCAAAUUAACCCAUUAACCCAUUUAUGACCCAUUUAAGUUUAAUGUAAAUUUUCUGACCCAUACCCAAUCCGACUCAUACCCGACUUGACCCAUAUUAAUAAAAUAUUUUCAUUUUAACCAAAUUUAGAAAAACUUAUUCUUAUAUAUUUUUUAAGAUUAUAUUACUAAAAUAUUUCCAAGCUUAUUUCUUAUAUAUAUUAUUUUUAAAAAUGGUAUUGCUAAAAUAGUUUUAUACAACAAAAAUUUAAUGGACAAUUUUUAUAAUUUUUAAAAUAAUUAUUUUUAAAAAUAUAAUUUUAAUUAUUUUUUAUUUUUUUAAAAAUAAAUUUGUUAUUAUUUUAUUUAUAAAAUAUACUUUUUCUUUUUCUUUUUCUUUUUUCUUUUUCUGUGGCCGACCGUUGGCCACAAGCGAGUCUCGAGCUCGCUCAACGCCGGCGAGCUCGAGGCUCACCAGAUCGGCGAAGCUCGAGCCUCGCCCAACAACGGCGAGCUCGAGUCUUGCCAGAUUGGCAAGGCUCGAGCCUCGCCAGCGUCAGGUGAGCCCGAGCUCGCCCCUCACCGGAUCUGGUGAGGUUCGAGCCUCAUCGGACAUCGGUGAGGCCUUUGCCUUGCCAGAUAUGGCAAGCUCGAGGCUCGCCGGUGUCGGGUGAGCUUGAGCUCACCCCUUGCCAAGCGUCGGGGCCUCACCAGAUCUUGCGAGGGGCGAGCUUGAGGCUUGCCUAACCGGUCGCCGGCCAUCGCCAUGCCGGCGACUAGAGGAAGAAGAAAGAAAAAAAAAAAGGAAAGAAAAAAGAAAAAAUAAUUAUAAUGUCGGUUUUUAUAAAUAAAAAAAAAAUUGCAAAGUUAAAGAGAGAAGAGAAAGGUUGUGACUUGUGAGGUUUUGAGUGAAAAUAAAUGGAUUCAUUUUUAAUGGGUUGAUAAAUAGAUCUUAAAUGGAUCAGAGAGCUGACCCAUAUGAGUCUGACUCAUAUAUCUCAUUCUUGACCCAUAAAACCCAUUAUGGGUGCUUUAGGAAAUAAACCUUGACCCAUUAACGACCCAUUUAAACAUAAAUGGGUCCAUAAAUGGGUUAAUGACCCAUUUUGACACCGAAGCAUAAUCAUCUUGAUUCUCAGGCAGUAAAGAACAUAACGCAGAUCUCUGCUCGUCUUCUUCUGGUGGGCUUUACAUACGUUGCGGUUUGUGGAUGGCAGCAGAGAAUGAUCUCCAUGACUGAAAAACGGAGUCUGUUUCUCUAUUAUUCUUAUAUGCUUUGUUGGGACAUUCUUGUUGCAUUACUUGAAAUUGUAUAGGGUACUUGACCGGCUUUCACUGGUCCUGCGGCCGAUAACCAACGUUAGACAAAGAAUCCACUAACCGCCAUGUUCAUCCUUCUUCAUGUAAAAAAUCUUGUGAAAUAAGAUCAAAUCUUUGUAAAAAUUUGUAACCCAACUUUUCUUUUUGGUCGCACUUUUUGCUUGUCAUCUAGUCUUAUCUUAAAUUCUUGAUAUCACUUUUGCACGAAUUACUUAUUUCGUUCGGAGCAUUACCUAUUGUGUUCGCGUAAAUUAGCAAUAAGGACAAAACUGAUGAUAUUAACUGCAGCACAUUUUAUAUAUUCAAUUAUCAAUUAUCAUAACUUAUAAAUUAACUUGAUUAAUUGAGUAAUAUGUUGAGGAAAAAGCCAUUGCCCACGCAGCACAAUAUGAGUAAUUUCGGGCUUUUUGGUUAACCAAAAUUACUUUUUUGACCCUAAUACUCUUUGUUGGCAAUAUAGGGCUCGAAUGAUAACCAUUUGGCUAGAAAUUAAUUUCUAGAAGAGAAAUAGAUUUUUCUAUUUUUAUUCUUGGAUGAAUUUCCAAGCAAAAAUACGUGUUUAAUAAUGAUAUAAAAUUUCUAUUUCCAAAAUAGAAAUUCGCUUUAUAAAAAUACAAAAUUUCUUCCGCCUAAGUGGUGGUGGACAGCAGACAGAGGCAAAUGUCGGUCGACGACCAGUGGCAGCGGUUGGUGGUUAGCAGAUGAUAAUUGGUGGCUGGCGAUCGAUGGAUGAAGAGUGGUAGCAAACAACGACGACAGCAGUUGAUAGACAACGAUUGAGCAGACGAUAGACAACGGCCAGUAGUGAUGGAUGGGCUACUGGAUAGAAGUAAAGACGAACGAUAAGAAAAAAUUUUAUUUCUCAUUUUUGUUCUAGAAAUAGAGAAGUAAAAAAUUCUGAUUUCUGUUCCAAAUCUAAUUCUAGAGUUAAAAUUUAUUAUAAAAAUAGAAAAAUGAAAUAAUUUUAUCAAAUAGAUUUUUAUUUCAGAAACAUAUUCAGAAUAGAAAAAUAGUUUAGUAUUAGAAAUAUAAUAGUUAUCAUAUACUUUGCUUUUUCUUGCACUUUGCUUUUUGGUCUUCCGAGGAGUCAUCAUGAUUUCAACUUUUAGAAAAGAGGAGAGCCUCUGUUCUUCUUUUCAUACAUUGUGUUUGAUCAUUGACAUGGAUACUCGUUUAGCAAGUAAUUUUUUAAUAAGUUACUACAGUCUUCUCGAAAGUAUCAACUCGUAUUUACACUUCAAAAUUUACUAUAUGCUUUCAUAACCUACCAAGUUUAUCAAACUAGUGUUGAAAACGCUUAGAUUAAAAGCAAAUAAUUUUGAUAUCCAAACUAAUCGUCAUUGUGAUGGCACAGAUUGUUUUCUUCACUCUGUGCCCAGUGGUCGACCUCCAUUAUCAGAACCAGAGCCUCGUUCAGUUGAAACAACUUUGACAAUUGAAGCAUUUUCAUAGCUGAAAACACAUAGGACAUCGUUGAGAAGAUAUAUACCAGUCCAAAAAAAAGUGCACAAGUAAAAUAUCUAUGAAAGGAUGCAAGGGGGAUCAUCGAUCACCUCCAACGAGGUAUGGAACACAUUAUAACAAGAUAUUCAAACCAUGUUCAGACAUCACGCAACAUGCUCGGAAUAUCACGAAAUUAGAUAAAAGAGUGGUGUUCAAAUAAUGAUCCAGUUUCCUAAAGUAGUCCACCACAUUCGUUGUUUUAUCUCCGGCACCAUCAAGCACAUUGUGUGGGUUAGUUGCAUCGGGCGAUGGAUAUUUAAUUAGUAAAAGAAAUAUCAGUCGCUAUCUUUGAAAGUUGCAGAAUCCUAAUAGACUAAAAUUUCAACUCGACAACUAUCAAUGGGAAAGAAUGACCAUAAAAGUUCUAAAUCUAUUAUAAUUAUGCAAAUUCAAUCAUAAUUUUUUUAAUCAAUUAAGUCAUAAACAUUUUCCAAUUAUGCUAGUUUAGUCAAUCUGGCCAAAUUUUACUAGCUAAUGCUUACGUGAUAAUUUUUUAAUAUUUUUUAAAAAUUUUGUAUUAAUUUUUUUUUCCUUUUUCUCUUCUCCCUCCUUUGGCUUCAUUUCUUCGCAAUGGCUGGCGAGGCUCUAGUGAGGCUCACCGACCAUUGAGCAAGGGCUUAGCUUGCCAAUGCCUCAUAGGCCACUACAAGUAAAAGAAGCCAAAGAGGAAGAAGGGAAAAAGGAAAAUGAAAAAGUAAAAAAAUAAAAAUAAAUAAAUAAAUAAAUAAAAUUAAUAAAAAAAUCGAAAAAAAUACUAAAAAAAUGAUUUAAAAAUUUCCAUGUCAGUAUGGAUCGAAAUUGUCGGCUAGCAUCUACCUCAAUGGUGCCCAGCCAAAUUUGGUCGAAUUGACUCAAUUUGUAGAAUUAUAAAAUGUUUAUGAUUAAAUUGGCCUAAAAAAAAAAAUUAUGUCCAUCCAAACUUUUAGUCCAAUCUACUCAAUAAUCUUUUCAGAUCCAGUUUUUGUCGAUAUUCAACUUUGCUUUGAGGCUUCCAUUAUCGGCCUUCUCUUGUUGGAUUGACGUCCUCACCGAAUGUCCUUUUUUUUUUUUUUUUUUUGCUUUUAGCCCGCAAGUGAAAAUGUCCCUUUCUUGGAUUCUUAACAAAUGAUCCACUUAGCAAUCUUUGCAACUUUUUGAUAUAUAAUAUAUAACAGAUAUGUGCAUUUAAGGUCUUAAAACUUGUCACAAAAUUGUAAUUAAGUGCUGAAACUUUACAAAAAGUGCAGUCGAGUCUUAAAAUUUACUAAAUUGGUAUAAUCAAUAUUAAAGGCGUAAGUCAUAGUUCAAUGUUAAAUCCAAACUCAACAGAUGCUGAAUUUGGAAAGGAGUUCCUUACCUACCGAAAGUCGUUGUCUGUGGCAGAAGAUGACGCAGUGGAUUUUAGUUUUGAUACAGUUGGCAAAGGCAAGAUAAAGAAAUUCAACCUUGAUAGACUAUACAUGAACCUUAAAGUAUAGGUAGCUAGUUAAUAAGCCAGUAUGGAUGUGAAAUCUACAUUUAAUAUUAUAUCUUCAUACUUGUGUUGGUUACAUAUACUCACCGGGAGAAUUACCAAAAAAGUCAUAAACCUAUUGCAAUUGUGCCAAUUCAAUCCUAAACUUUUUUUUUGUCCAAUUAGUCCUAAACCUUUUAUAAUUGUGUAAAUUUAGUCCAUCCGGCCAAAAUUGGCCGGCCGACACUGACGUGGACGUCGGCGGGGGACAGCUGGCUGGCGAGGUAAUUUUUUAAUAUUUUUUAAUAUUUUUUUUUUCGAAUUUAUAUAUAUAUUUUUAAUUUUUUUUUUUUUUGCCUUCUUCUCCAUCCUCUGGCCGGACGCCGGCCAGAGGUGAGGGCCGGCGAGGUCAGCCUCGCCGGCCACUGGCAGAGGCGAGCCUCGCCCAGCGACGACGAGGCGGCCGUCGCCAGAUCUAGCGACGCUCAACCUCGCCAUGGUUGGGCGAGGCCGAGCCUCGCCAGCUCUGGCGACGGCCACCUCGCCGGCCACUGGUGAGGGCGAGGGUCGACCUCGCCUAGUGGCCGGCAAGGCUGCCGUCGCCAUCGCCACCUCCACCGCCUCCCCCGUCCCCCCGAUCGUCGGCACGAUCUCCCCCUCCGAGCUCAAGCGGCCCUCCCCGGCCGUGACCGUUGCCAAAACCCUGUUCCAACGCCUCUGGACCGACGAGGACGAGAUCGAGCUCCUCCGUGGGUUCCUCGACUACACCACACAGCGCGGCAGGGCCUUGCCCUUGCCAGUGGCCGGCGAGGGCCGAGCUCGUCGGAUCUGGCGAGGCCGCCGUCACCAGAUCUGGUGAGGCUCGGUCUCAGCCCAGCCAUGGCGAGGUCAAGCCUCGCUAGAUCUAGCAACGGCCGCCUCGCCGUCGCUGGGCGAGGCUCGCCUCCGCUGGGCGAGGCUCGCCUCCGCCAGUGGCCGGAGAGGUCAGCCUCGCCAGCCCUCACCUCUGGCCGGCGUCCGACCAGAGGAAGGAGAAGAAGGCCAAAAAAUAUAUAUAUUUAAAAUAUUUAAAAAUUCGAAAAAAAUAUUAAAGAUAUUAAAAAAUAUUUAAAAAAAUUACCUCGCCGGCCGGCUCCCCACCGGCGUCCACGUCAGUGCCGGCAGGCCAAUUUUGGCCGGAUGGACUGAAUUGGCACAAUUGCAAUAGAUUUAUGACUUUUUUUGGUAAUUCUCCCUAUAUUCACCCCUGUACAAUUACCUCUUUGUGUAAAAUAAUGUCCGUGGUGAUUAAGUGAGGCAUGCUUCACAUACUAUUCAACCACUUCAAAAAUCAUCAAAACGAUGGAUGAUGGUGAAGUUGCAUCAAAGCUUGUUACAAUCUCACUUUUAUGAGAGUGGGAUAUAUCUCUGCUUUCUGUCGAUUGAUUGUUAGAAAACCCUUUUCAGGGAUGUCGAUUUUAACCUGGACGCUGACUUUGACAAGUUUUUAUCUUUCAAAGUGGACAUGCGAGAUCUUGAUUUAUCCUGUCCAUCUAAGAAAUCUCCAAACAAGGAUAGAAGUGAAGUAGAAUCACCCGAUGAAGGAAAUUCCAAGAAAAUAUUUUAUUUGUGCUUUGAUUUUAACGAGUCAGACAGCUUCACAAUGUAUACAUUAGGGCUUAUUCUUUGAUACAUAAGGUUAUAUUUUCAUAAGGUUAUAUUUUCAAGUGAAGGGAAAUUUCAUGACUUGUGAUUUCAAUCUAGGAACUUAGCAAUCAUUUGUGCUAUCCAACUAAUUUCUCCACUUGUUCUUUAUCAUCAACAUCAUCAAGUAUAAUGACAACUUUCUUAUUGCAAAGUACUUGUUGAAUGCUCUUCAUUCUAGAAUCAAUUUCAUUAAUGGUCCUGGUUCUCGCAGGAUGGCUAAUUUUGGAUAAUAACCUUUUAUUGCAAGUCAACUAAGCCAUCCGUUUUCAAUGACUUCGCUCACAUGUCUUCAAGGAAACAACAAUACUUUCCAAAAUGAAAAGAGAGUUGGUUGAAAAUGACUUUGGCUAGAGUAGUUUUACGGAUACCACCCAUGCCAUAUAUUUUAAUGAGUCUCACACCAUUGGAGUCAAUGUCUAAUAAGUUGCUUACUGCUAGUAUUUGCUUGUCAAUUCCAACUAAAUGCUCAGUCACCAAUCUAUGUUUUGUCUUCAAUUUUUUCAGGACCACUUCAGCUACCAAUUCAAUUAGCUCCCCGUGGCUGUUGUGACCAUAGAAACCCAUCUUACCUGGUGAAAAAUGCAAAAUCGUGAUUACCAAGCAAGAAGUGAUGUUAUCCAAGCACUGAAUAAAAUACACAAUGAUCCGAUAAGUAACGGGACCUUAAUAAUCUAGAAGUGAUAUUCUAAAAUGUCGAUAAGAAGACCAUAGGAAAUAUGGGUCGUUGAGAAAGUGGCUGAAACUUGAACAAGGGAGUCAAGUAACUUUUCAUGACGAAGACCAUAAGCUCGAAUGCUAUUGGUCGAUGAGAAAGAGGGCCCGUCUUGAGAAAAUAAUUGUUCGGUGAAUAGGAAAAGAAAAACCAAAAUUGAUGAUGUGAAAUUUCAGCCAGAUUGGAUAUUCUUAGAAAAAUAUAGAAUUUUCUAUUUAUCUAUUUUUCUUUCUCAACUUCUUCUUUCCUUGUAACCACUGUUGAUAUAUAUUGGAUAUUUUUAGGAAAAUCUAAUUUUGUAAUACUCCAAGCAUGUUGCGUGAUGCCUCCGACAUGGCUUGAGUUUCUUCUUAUAAUGUGUUCCAUGCCUUUUUCAAGAUAUUCGAUGAUUCCUUGCAUCCUUCUGUAGAUGUUUUAUUCAUGCACCUUCUUGUGGACAAGCAUAUUUCUUCUCAACGAUGUCCUAUAUGUUUUUGGCUAUGAAAAUGCUUCAAUAGUCAAAGUUGUUUCAAUUGAAUGAGACUUUAGUUCUGAUUAAUGGAGGUCGACUAUUGGGCAUAGAGUGAACAAAAUGAUCCAGGCCAUCUUGGUGACGAUUAAUUUGGAUUUUAAAAUUAUUUGCUUUAAUUUAAGCAUUUUCGACAUUAGUUUGAUAAUAUUGGUAGGUUAUGGAAACAAUUCGUAAAUUUUGAAGUGCAAAUAGGAGUCGAUACUUUCUAAAAACUGUUAUAGUAACUUACUAAUAUAUUACUCGCUAAAUGAAUAUACAUGUCAAUGAUCAAACACCAUGUGUGAAAGGAAGGACAGUGGCUCUCUUCUUUUCUAAAAGUCAAAAUUAUGAUGAUGCCUUGGAAGACCAAGAGGCAAAGUGCUGGGAGUCGCUUAGAAAAAGCAUACUCCUAAAUGGCCGACAAAAAGGUAAAGUUGGUUACCAAAAAAGCCCAAAAUUACUCGGAUUGUGCUGCAUGGACAAUGGCUUUUUCCUGAACAUGUUACUCAAUUAUUCAAGUUAAUUAAUAAGUUAUGAUAAUUGAUAAUUGAAUAUACGAAACGUGCCGCAGUUGAUAUCAUGCUUUGAAAGGAGAACGUAAGUUUUCUUUUGAUUGCCAAUUUACACAAACACGACAGGUUAUAGUGAUAUAAUGAAUUUAGGAUAAGGUUAGCGUCCGACAAUAAUUAUGACAAAAAAGAAAAGUCAGUUGACAAAUUCUACCGAGAUCUGAUCUUAUUCCACGAGAUUUUUUUCACAUGAAGAAGGAUGAACAUAGCGGCUGAUGGAUUCAAAGUCUAAUAUUGGUUACAAGUCCCAGGACCGUGAAAGCCGCUCGAGUACCUAAUACAAUUUCAAGUAAUGAAACAAGAAUAUCCCAACAAAGCAUUGGAGGUCGUUCUCUGCCGCCAUCCACAACCCACAACAUACAUAAAGCACAUCAGAAGAAGACGAACAGAGUUCUGCAUUAUGUUCUUUACUGCAUGAUAAUCAAGAUGAUUAUUCUUCUUGAGGAAAGGGAAUUUGUGUCUGUAUCGUCCGAUAAGACAGCUUGCUUGUAAACAGAGAUUCACUGGGUACCUAGUCUUAAGCUAGAUUAGCAUCAGCCUGUGCAGCACUUUUGUAGCAAUUUUCAAAUGAAAACUUUCAUUCUUCAUCAGGAUAUCUUAGGACUGUCAACAUUUUCGCCCCCAUCUAUUUCUUCAUGUUGGAAACGUUAGAACUACGAAAAGAAAAUGGAAUUGGGCGUGGCCGUGGAGAACAACGGUUUCAAAAUCAAUGACGACAAUGAUGGCAGCAUCCAUGAAUGGAGGCUUUGCAAAAGAUGAUUGGGCUCUACCUACAUCUUUCUUGUGAUCUCAAUUUGUCUAAAAUCAAUCUGUUCUGAACAUGAAAACAUUUGUUUUGAGAACUUGUCUUCAGUAGUUGUUGAAAAAGGCAAUGUCACACUUUGAAGCUUUCUUGGAAGGAUAUUGCAGGGUUCAAGGAAGGUUCCCAGAAGCAUCUCCUUACUCAAAAGAAACAAAACAAGAACUGAUAUUGUACAUAAAACUGAGAUUUUCUUGUUUUUUUUUUUCGACAGGUAAAGUUACUUUUAUUUUUCCAAACAUGGGACCUGCAACUUGCAUGCGCAUUUGAAGAAGUAUUUAGCCACUAACUUUGGUUUUUUUAAUUAUCCGCCAAUAGCAUUCGAUCUAAUGGUCUUCCGUCGAAAAAAAAAAAAAAAAGAUCUUCUGUUUCAAUCAUUUUAUAGGUUCAGGGAAGGUUCCCAGAAGCAUCUCCUAAUUCAAAAGAAACAAAACAAGAACUGAUUUCAUACCUAAAACGGAGACUUUCUUGUUUUUUUUUUUUUUUUCCAACGGGUAAGAUACUUUUAUUAGCCCGAUAUAAGGAAAGGGUGGAUCAAAGAGAAUAAAUAAAAUAUUGUGUGCAAAAAAGCAAAGAAAAUAAAAAAACUAAUCAUACUUGAAAUGAGGUAAAUUAAUGCAUAAUGAAAGUUUAAUUCCUUGACUUCCACGUAUGUCAUGCCAUAAUCUCGUUCUUCCGAACUGUUGCACAUGGGGCCUGCAACUGCACGCGCGACAAGCCAGCUAGCUGUGACCGUCCUCAGAUGUAAACGUUCUCAGUUGGCUUUGGCUCCUGCUAAUGGGGCCUUCAACUGCAUUCACAAGUGUGUCGACCACAACUUUAGUUUUUAUUUUUAAUCAUCGACCAAUAGCAUUCGAUCUUAUGGUCUUCGUCGUAAAAAAUCGCUACAUCCUGUUUCCACCAUCUUUUCAUAGACCCAUAGAAUUCUCCUAUACCUACAUUAUUUGCUCAUAACGUGUUGACGCGGAAUAUUUUCUGUUUCCACCAUCUUUUCCUAGACCCAUAGAAUUCUCCUUACUACAUCAUUUGCUCUUAACGUGUUGACGCGGAAUAUUUCUCUACUGAAGAUCAUCGAGCGAGAGACGGAGAGAGGGAAAGAGAGGUCUGCUUAGCUGUGCAAAUUACUGCUAUGGCAAGCUCCAAUGCUAGAACAUCAUCGGGAAGCAAGUACCAAGUGUUCCUGAGUUUCAGAGGACCUGACACUCGGACUGGAUUUACCGAUGUCCUCUUUCAUAGUUUGACCGAUGCUGGAAUCCACGUGUUUCGAGAUGACGAAGAGCUCCGUGUCGGUGAAAGAAUCGAUGGAGCACUUCUGCAAGCGAUCAACAACUCCAGGAUCUAUAUGCCGGUCUUCUCUCGGAACUAUGCUUCGAGCCAAUGGUGUCUUUGUGAGCUCGCACAGAUCGUGGCAAACACCUCGAAAUCGGAAGGUAAUAAAGAGAUCCUACCUAUUUUCUUUGAUGUGGAACCUAACGAUGUUAAAUUGAAAACCCCACUAUAUCACAAUGCCAUACUCAAUUUGGAGCACAAGAAGAAGUUGAGCAACGAGCAAGUAAAUGUUUGGAGAGAGGCCCUCAUGGAGGUUGAUGCCAUAAAGGGGUGGGAGGUGAAGAAAUACAAAGGGUAAGCUAGCUAUUUUCAAGAUACUUGUUUCCCUAAUUUUCCUUAACACUUAAUAAUAGAUCUCAAAAUUCCAGAAUGAUUGAGGUGGGAUUUUUAUUAUAGUAAUACUAAAUGAUGAAUCUUUACGUCUACAAAACAAAAUAUGAAGACAUGAUAUUCAACUUCUACAGUUGUUGGUUGACAAUUGCACAAAUUUUUAUACAACAAUUUUGCUCGAAAAUCCCAAGAUUGCUACUCUCAUGUUGGAAUCAAGUUGAAUUUCGGGUCAUGACAUAGCAUCAACGUUGUCAAGGGCUUAAAAGUAUGUUUUGGAGAGACGUUAAUGUCCAAUAUGGACUUUUAGAAUAUCACUCCUAGGUUUAAGGUCCCAUUACUUAUCAGAUCAUUGUGUAGUUUAUCCAAUGCUUGAAUGACAUCACUUCUAGUUAGGUAAUCGUGAAUUUUCUCACUAAAAUGGAUUUUCAUUGUGGCAGCCACGGAGAACUAAUCAAAUUGGUAGUUGCGAAGGUUGUGGAAUGUUUGAAGUCAAAACAUAGAUUGGUGACUGAACAUUUAAUUGGAAUCGAUGAUCAAGUAGUAGCAGUAAGCAAAUUAUUAGAUGUCGAUUCCGAUGGUGUGCGACUUGUUAAAAUUUAUGGCAUGGGAGGUAUUGGAAAAACUACACUUGCCAAGGUCAUCUUCAACCGACUUUCUUCUCAUUUUGGAAAGUGUUGUUGUUUCCUUGAAGAUGUUCGAGAGAAGUCAUCAAGAACCGAUGGCUUAGUUCACUUGCAAGAAAGGUUACUAUCCGAAAUCGGUCAUCCUGUAGGAACAAAGAGCAUUGAUGAAAUUGAUUAUGGAAUUAAGAGGAUUGAAGAAAUACUUUGUAAUAAGAAAGUCCUUAUUGUACUCGAUGAUGUUGAUAACAACAAACAAGUGGAGAAAUUAGUUGGAAAUAUUACUUUAUAUUAUGGAUCCAAGAUAUUGAUUACAACUAGAAAUAAAGAUAUCUUGCAAGUCAAUAGACAAAAGUAUCAGAUUUUGGAUUAUGAAAUGGAGGUGAUGAGCGCUAGACAUGCGCUUGAGCUUUUCAGUAGGCAUGCAUUUAACACAGACUUUCCUUCAAAUGAUUAUGAUUAUCUUUCAAGGGAGAUUGUAUUUGCUACCGGGAGACUUCCAUUAGCUCUUGAGGUGAUUGGUUCGUUCCUCUACCACAAACCGCAAGAACUAUGGAAAGAGACAUUGCAUAAGUUAAGAAAAGCACCUCAUGAGGAUGUUUUUCAAAAGUUGAAGAUCAGCUAUGAUGCCUUAAAUUUCGAGCAACAACAAAUUUUUCUCGAUAUUGCAUGCUUUUUCAUCAAUAAAGAUAAGGCGAAUGCAUUCUACCUAUGGAAAGGUUGUGAGUUUUUCCCAAAUACAGGAGUUGCUGCUCUCAUUGACAUGUCUUUGGUAAAGAUUGUGGAGAAUGAUAAGUUUUGGAUGCACGAUCAACUUAGAGAUAUGGGAAGAAAAAUUGUUCUCCUAGAAAAUCCAAUAAAUCCCGAGGAGCGGAGUAGGAUAUGGAUUUGUGAGGAGGCUCUUAAUGCAAUAAGACCAAAGCAGGUAAAGCACUUAUGGAGAGAUCUAACUAGUUUUUCCCAUAGAUUCCACUCCAUUGUACCUUCUUGGGUUUUUUUUUUUUUUUAUAAUCCUUUGGCUCUAUGAGAUAGAAUACUGAUAUCACUCAUUUCCUAUUCUCAUUUGUAGAUAAACAAGAAAGUUCAAGCACUAUCUCUUUAUUCAUCUAGACAAAGUAUGUGUGAUGUCUUUGUUCGAAUUAAAUGGAUUGGAAGGUUGGAACAUCUAAGAUUCCUUAAAUUAUCUCACUUAGACCUUGUUGGAGAUGCAACAUAUUGCCUUCCCAAAUCAACAUGGAUUUCUUUGAGUUAUUUUCUGCAAAAAUGGACCAACACGUGCCUAAAGAAUUUAGUCGUUCUUGAAUUUGUCAAUGUUGCUUUCCUUGGUAAUUUGGAAUUCUCAAUCAAGGUGCGUAAUAUUCUUAUUCCUAUUUUAUUUUCUUGGAAAGUAAUAUUCGAUUGUUCAUCUAUUGAGUAUUGCUUUCAUUUUGACAGAUGGCAACAAAAUUGAAAGUUCUUUCUUUCAAAUAUUGUCCAGACAUAAUCAAAACACCUGACUUCUCUAGAUGCCCCAAUUUAGAGAAGCUUACUUUCAGAUGUUGUCACAAUUUGAGGAAAAUCAAUGGCUCUAUUGGGAAGUUGAAGUGUUUGAUUGAUUUGAGGAUUCAUUGCAAUUCUCUCAAACAUUUGCCUAAAGAAAUCGGGGACCUAGUGAAUCUGCAGUAUUUUGAUGUACAUUGCUAUAAAAUGAAGAAACUCCCGAAUUUCAUAUGGAAGUUGAAAUCAUUACGUGAGUUGCACUUUCGAGGUUGUACUUCUAAUGAUUUAGAUUAUGCAAAUUCAUGGACGAUACCUUUUGCUAUUGGAAUGCUCCAAAAUUUGGAAGUGCUUCAAGUCCAUAAUCACUCUUUACAAGGUCGACUUCCUUCUAGCAUUGGAAGUUUGUUCUUUCUAAGAAUCCUAAAUCUAUCAGAAACUUAUGUCAGUGAAGUUCCAAAGACCAUCAGCAUGCUUCCUCGGCUACAAAGAAUCGAGUUGAUGGGAUGCGACAAUAUUCAAGAGUUGCCGACCCUCCCAACAAGUUUAACCCAUCUAAAGGUGUCAUCUAAAUUGUUGCGGGUAGUCUCAGAUCUUUCAAACUUGACUAAUUUGGUUGAGUUGGUUCUAGGUGAUCAUGGAAUAGUAAGAGAUAAAUCUUGUGCCGAUGAGUUACAGUGGAUUGGGAAGUUAUCCAAACUGACCAAAUUAUGGUUCGGACUUCACAAUGUCCCUAUUCAUACUGAGAUGGCUUCCCUUCCUAUGCUAAACGAACUUUAUUUGGAUGGAUUCAACCUACAAACCUUUCCACAACUACCCUUAUCUCUGGAAAAGCUAAUGCUUAGAAAUUUCAAUUCAGUUGCAUUAGCCUAUCUGAACCCAAGAAAUUUGUUAUGUUUAGAGCUGUAUGAUUCUCCAUUGCAAGAACUACCACUUGAUGGGUCUCAACUUCCACAGCUAAAGAAGUUGCGUGUGGAAGGCUGGCAACGCCUCGAAAGGUUGAGGCUAUCAAGAAUGAGGAAGCUAAAUGUUGUCGAGGUGAUUUUUUGUGUAAAGUUAGUUAAGAUCCAACUUUCUUGGGUGUUCAAAUCAAUGGAGUUAUUGACUAUUGACAAUGGCGAGUCCUUAGAAAGGAUAGUUUAUAAGUCAGAUAAUGAAUUGCUUGGUUGUGGACGGAGGCUAAUUUUACCGCCGAGAGUCUUAAAAAAGUUGCGUUUUCUCAACCUGCGGGGGUGCCUUAAGAUAUUCAACGUUCAAGUUGUAGGUACGUUGGAAUUGUUGGAAGACUUUCGCAUUAACGGUUGUCUUUACUUGCAACAUCUCGGUGAUUUGUCAAACUUAAAGAACCUAAAGUCUUUAUCAAUCCGGGGCUGCAAGAGGCUACGGGAUGUUGAGGGCGUCGACGAGUUGGAGUUUCUGAACCGUUUAGCACUUAUUGAUUGCGGAUCGUUGGAAAGGUUGAUUGAUGUGUCAACCACCAAACUGCCAAAUGAUUGCCAUGUGUGGAUCAAAAGGUGCGGGAGAUUACCUGGGGUUAAGAAAGGAUUCAGCGGCUCCGUCCAGUCCUUCAAGCAUUAUAAGGCGAGUCUGGAUCAUUCUCUCUAUUUCUUUUUUAUAUAAUUUCUUGACGCAACCGUCCACGAACACCAAUUCAACUCUAAGGUAGAUAUGUAAUAAUGGUGAGAAAUUAAAAAAUAAACAAAAAUCAAUUAAUAUUUGAUCUCACUUAUUUUAAAACCCACUCGAUAUAAGUUUGUUUUAUUUUCAGCUCACGUUUUUUUUUUUUUUUUAGAUGAGAAAGUUCUGUUCUAUAUGUGCAGCAAAUCUAUGGGACAAGGUCAGCUUUUAUCAAAAGUCAUUGGAAAAAUUGCAAUUUUUAGCGAAAAAUAAAAUAAAAUAAUUUAGAGUAUCUCAUUAAAAUGUUCUUUUCACUUUAUAUGAAAUGAAUUGUUUAUUUAGCAAAUUUUUAUGCAAUACACUCCACUUUAUUGUCAUUUCUUACUUAAUACAAUUCAUUAUGGAGAUGAGUUUAGUGAUUUGCAAUUUCCACAAUGAAAAUAGAACACUAAAAGAAUCCUAUACUCAUUGCACAACUUCAAUAGAAUUUUCUGAGGGAAUUCUUUCAAGAACACAACUUAAAUGGUCCACGGAUCCACAAAUCGGCUGACUUAUGUUAUUGAUGGAGUUGAGCGUUAAUUGAAUUUGCAUGUGGAUGGGGUCGGCCAAUUAGGAUGCGUGUUCCACAAGCAUCUAAAUAUUUAUUAAGAUUUUUCAUUCUAAAAAAAAACAAUGAAAAUCUAAUUUUUGAAAGUCUGCAUCCUUCCCGGUUUUUGACCGUGUUUGUUAAUGGCCACUUUAAACAUCGUUCAGACAUUUAUUUUUUCAGUUGUGAGGAAUUUCGUUUCAUUUCAUCGACCGGCUUCCACUACGCUAGAUAGAGAAGGGGAAAAUGAGGAGGAAAUGCUUCGUCUACUAAAUUUAUAACUAACCCCGAUCUUAUUAUUAUUAUUGGGUAAAAACAUAUUGUUUUUUCUAUCUUAGGAGUUUAUAUCUAAGGCAGAUAAUGGGUCAGACCAAUAAAUGCCUUACUAAUGUCAUGGAUAUAGGUAGCAUACGAGUCAAAGACAGGGCAGAUGGCUGUGAUGUAAAAAUGUUUUUUUUUUAUUUGUCGGUGUGAUGCAAAAUUGUUUACAUUUGGUGAAAUGGAAAAUCGAACUCGUUUGAUAUGCAUAAUCCACAUGCACAAUUUCGUUCUAAUCCUACAUGAUUUACGACAUUUCCUUGUGCGAUAUUGUUUCCUCUUCUAUAUUGAUCCUUUCUCAUAUUUCAAUCUCAACAAAUACAGCCAAAACUUGUAUGUAUGACUUUCAUCAGUUUCUUUUGAGGAUUUUAAAGCAACUCCUAUCUAUUUGAUUGCAUUAUUUUAUUCAUGCCAUUCCUUUUUCGAAAGCUUUCUCCUAAAACUGGCUAUGAUUUUAUUUUUCAGGAAUCAGACUUUGAUUUGACAACAUGUUUCGGACGCUUGUGAAGUUUUGAAGGCAACCCGCACAAUAAUUGUUAGAAUGCAGGGAGGGAACUAGCAUAAUUUUUUAUCGGGGUCAUUGCACUGAAGAGUCCAAAGGUUUCUGAGAAUGAUUUCUAGUACCAGGACAUCAACUUAGGAUGCAGGUGUGACCUCAUCAUUUUCAAGCUAGAAAGAUGAUUUACCCUUGUGGCAGAAUUAAGAGAGUUGUCGUUCCUCACAUCAACAUUUCUUUGAAUCCUUAAAGGAUUCCUCGCUUGAAUUAGUUAUUUCAGGAUUGUCCCAUCUCUUUUCGAUUGGUCUUAGACAACUCAUUCAAAUUGCCCGUCUUGCAAGAAGAACUGCAAAAGUUUAGUACGGGCAGAUUAAGCAUAUGCAGAAUAAUGUUGUGUGAAAGGCCUCAUCCAAUAUAUGAAAUCUACUUGUUAGAGCUGGCAAUCUCUCCAAGACGGGAUAUGACAUAACAUGAACAUCAUCAUAUGUAGAACAGAAAUGGCAUGGCAUUGAUACAUCAUACUCUCUCAUUUCACGUGACCCAACAUGAAUAUGUCAGGCCACAGCACAUUGUGAGCCCUACUUCCAGGCUUGUAUCUUCUAAUAGCUAAUUUUGUCAUACAUAACCAGAACAAAGAUGUCACUAUCCUCUUUAGAGCAUAUUACGGUGAAUUUCAUAUAAGCUUUCGUGGCAAAUAAUAAUGGAAGACUUAGAAUUGAGAUACAAUUGCAAGUGAAAGUUCACAAUUUCAAUAGUUGAUAUGUAUAUCUAUUUUCUUGUAUAUAAAAUACAUCACCAAAAUAAUUAAUCACGGUAGACAGUAGUUGAUAUGUAUUGUUGGUUGAAACGUUCACGCAAGAUUGGCUGUGAUUUUAUUUCUUCAUGAGUCACGUUUUGAUCAGAUUUUGACAUGUUUUGGAGGCUUGUGCAAUUUUGAAGACGACUCUGAUGAUGAUUUUUAGCAUGCAGGGACGGACUAGCAUAUCAGUUUAGUGGGGCCAAUGCACUGAAGAGUCAAAGUUUCCAAGAAUGGUUUCAAAAACCGGGACAUCAAGUUUUGAUGCAGAUGAGAUCUCACCAGUUUCAAGCUCGAUAGAUGAAUUGCCCUUGCGGCUGAUUUAAGGGAAAUGCUGUUCUUCGCAUCAACAUUUCUGAUCCUUGAAUCCUUGUAAGAUUCGUCGCUGGAACUAGUUACUUCUGGAUCAUCGCAUAUAUUUUCGACUAGUUUUGACAACUCAUUCAAAUUGCCCGUCUUGCAUGAAGAGCUGCAAAAAUUUAGUACAAGCAGAUUAAGCAUAUGCAAUAUACUGUCGUCCAAAAGGUCUAAUCCAACAAAUGAAAAUUACUUGUUAGAUUUGGCAAUGUUUCUAAGACAGUGAUGAUACAACAUGAACAGUAUCAUACAUAGAACAUAUGUGACAUGACAUCGAUACAUCUUUUCUAUAACUAGGAGUUAUUUCAAUCUUAAAAGUAAAUAUUAUUUGAAGGACUAUCCCCCUCCCAUUUUAUGUGACUUAGAAGGUUCAACUCAAAGUUGAAUGAAUCAUGCUACAGCAGAUGGUGAACCCUACUUCCAGGCUUGUAGUCUUCCAUUAGAUAAUCCAAUCAUAUGUUACCAGUGACAAAGAUGUCAAUAUCCUUCUCAUAGCAUAUUAUGAUGAAUUUAAUAUGAGCUUUCUUGGCAAAUAAUAAUAGAAGACUUAGACUUGAGAUGCAACAGCAACAAAAUGAUGAGAGAACAUCAAAAGAUUUUUUUGCACAUAUCUACAUGGGUUGAUCAAAAUAGUAAUAUAAAGCAAUUAGGUGAGUCUCAAAUGUCUCAAUGGAAACUAUGAUAUACAGUCAAACAAAAAAUAUCUCAUUUUACCCUAGAUGUCCAUUCAAUAGCAGAACAAUGAUAACCAGUGCAACUUUUUAUGGGGAGGAGGUAAAAUCCUUCCCAUCAUUCCUUCUGAGGGGAGGGGGUGGCAGCGGGAAGAAGAUAACUUACACAUUACUAACUUGCUGUCAGCUACUGUUAAGUACAUGGGGAAAAAGAAAUUAGUAGAAUUUGAGCAAAAUUUCAUUCAAAUAUAAAGUUACAAUUUGAUUGGGUACAGAUGCCUAACCCCAGGUUGACAAGUGUUUUUCACACUAACAUGGCUUCCUGUCAAAGGAGAUUGACUUUUUGCGUGCUCCCUUGCAAGUGAAUUUAGAUCAACAAGUGACUUUCCCUCAACUUGAGAAUCUUUGGCUUUGUCUCCCAACCUAUUGAACAUUGCGUAAACCAUGUGAUGUUAUAAAGCACUCCAUAUCCAAUCAAAGAAACUGGAAUAAAAUAGAAAAUUUUCAUCCUUUCUCAUUUAGAUGCACAGAAGCAAGUCUUUUACUAAUAAUUUGAGUAAGCUUUCUCCUAGUGAUAGUUCUCGAGAACACUAACUCUUGAUUUCCUCUGAUCCAUCGAAUAAAUUUGAGUGGGUUUGUCCAAGCAUCCUACAGGAAAAGAAAGAGCACAAUGCAUGAGCUACAGGCUCUCUGCUUGGGACAUCAACAUAGUAGUAAAAGUGAACUAAGAAGUGCAAAAAUGUAAUGCUGAUCCACACAAUUUUCUACUCAAAUCUGGAAAUUAUCAUCAAAUGCAUCAAUAUGAUAGCCAAAACCCAAUGAAUGAGUGCAUCAAACUGAUGACCACAAGAACUUGCUGUGUUCCUGUCCUUGGAACAUUGAGCUACAGACGCAUAUUCUUCCUAAAUUCUGAUAAAAUCAACUAUCAAGUCCUUGUUUCUUAAAAAGAGACAUUAAUGACUCAUUGCUCUUAGUAAAUGGCAUAAACUUGCCAAUGUUAUCCUCUUAUAAGUUUUCUGUCCUCUCAUUCCACAAAUCACUUAAAGGUAAGGGAUAAAGUAGGGUCAACCUAAUGACAAACAUUUCACCGUCAUGCAUUACUUUACUCAUAUGAAGAUUUGUGGCAGAUUUGGCCUCUUCUAUAUCAGCCUUAGUAGUAUUCCAAGUAUCAAGAAAAGGUUUACUGCUUUAGUUUGCCUUGCCUUCUGUUCCUGGAACAUGUGACAUAGUUAAACCUUCUAAAUGUACGUUGCCACAAGAAUAUGUGGCUUCCCCUACCAUUUGUUCCUUGUUACUCUGCUCUUCAUAUAAAGCGGAAUUUAAACUUUUGAUGAUAGAAAAAUCCUUUCUUGGAAGCUCUGGAAUGGUACUUAAAUUUUGUAUCAGCCCUGGGCGGAACGUGAAACUUCUCUUGGUACUUUUCAUCUGAUGUACAACCUUGUUGAUUGGAUUCUUGAGCGCACGUGCUGUUUGUCCUAUCCAAAGAAGAUCGUUCUAGGAUUGAAUUUCUACAAGCUGCAGAUAAAGUUAGACAUAGAGUUGAAGUUACAGAAAUCUCUACCAAAACUUAUGAUGUUACUCACACAACGUGUUGAUUCAUCAUUAUCAAUGACAGCUUUAUCUUCACAGUCUGUAAUUGCCUCAGGAAGGAGACUUUUCGAGCCCUGGUGCUCAUUCAUCUCUGUAAAUCUCCCUUUGCUUCCUAUGACCUUCUUCCGACCUUGUUCUCCCUCAGUCAUGGAUGAAUCAAGAUUAGAGCCGUCCAACGUGGAUAGCACAAUGACUGCUAAGGUCCUAAAUGCAAACACGAGUCAUGAAAUUUGUUUCGAGUGUUUCCUUUUUUUUUUGGUAUGAUAUUGUUUCCUCUUAUAAAUAGAUCCUUUCUCAUACUUUAAUCUCAAAAAAUGCAGUUAAAACCUACAUAUAGGACUUUUAUCAGAUUUUUCAAGGAACUUAGAACAGCUUCUAUUUAUUUUCUUGUGCAUGGUAUUCAUUAACAAAUAGGUCAAACACUCUGGACACUAGUUGAUAUGUAUAACUAAUUGGUUUGACUGCAUAAUCUCAAUCAUUUCUUUCCUUUUCUGAAACUUUCAUGGAAGAUUGGUUGCGAUUUUGUUGUUCAGGAAUCACACUUUGAUUGGACCACAUGUUUUGGACGCUUGUGAAGUUUGGAAGACAAGUCUUGCAACAAUGCUUAGCUUGCAGGGAUCGAGCUAGCAUAUUUCUAAGAAUGAUUUCAAAUUCCAGGACAUCAAGUUAGGAGGCAGGUGAGACCUCAUUUUGAGAGAGUUACUAUUUUUCAACGACAUUUAAAAGAUUCUUUGCUUGAAUUAGUGACUUCAGGAUUGAUGCAAAUCUUUUUCGUUGGUUUUGACAACUCAUUCAGAUUGCCUGUCUUGCUUGGAGAACUGGAAAAGUUUAGUACAAGUAGAUUAAGCAUAUGCAGAAUAAUGUUGUGUCAAUGGACUUAUCCAAUAUACGAAUUCUACUUAUAAGUGAAGUACAUGGAAAAAAAAAGUGGUAGAAUUUGAACAAAAUCUCAUUUUGCUCUAAAAUUAUAAUUUGAUUGGGUACAGAUGCUUCACCUCGGUAGAGAAGUGGUGCUCACACUGAUAUGGCUUGUUGUCAAAGGAGAUUGACUAUUCGUGUGCUUCCUCACGAGAGAAUUUAGACCAACAAGCUUUCUCCAAGUUGAUGGCUCUUAAGAAGACCGACUCUUAAUUUCCUCUGAUCUCUUCAAAAACUUUGAGUGGGCUUGUCAAGGCUGUCUACAGGUAAAGAAGGAGGACGAUAUACAAGCUGCAGGCUUUCUUCUAAUAGCAUUCGAUGUAUCAAUAAAAGGUUUAUAGCUUUCAUUUGCCUUCUGUUCUUGGAAUAUGUGGCACAGUUGAACCUUCCGAGCCCUUACCAUAUCUUCCCUGUUACUCUGCUCUUCACCCAAAGUGGAAUUCAAACUUUUGACAAUAAACAAAUCAUUUCUCGGAAUCUCUGGAAUGGUACUUAAAUUUGUAUCAAACCUGGGCUGCACAUUUACUUCUCCUGGUUCUCUUUGAUCUGAUGAAUAACCUUGUUGAUCAGACUCCUGAUUACACAUGCCAUUUGACCUAUACAAAGAAGAUCGUUCUCGGAUUGGAUUUCUACAGGCUGUAGACUUUGGCACCCGAUCAAUUUUUUUUUUCUUGGGUUGGGCAUAGAAGUUAAAGUUACAGAAGUUUUCUCCCUGAAUCUCUGGUGUACCCACACAGUGUGUAGAUUGAACAUUGUCAAUGAUAGCAUUAUCCUCACAGUCUGCAAUUGCCUCGCCAAGGUGAGUUUUUGAGCCCUGGUGCUCAUUCAUCUCUAAAGAUCUCCCUUUGCUUCCUAUAACAUUCUUCCCACAUUGUUCUCACUCAGGCAUGGAUGAAUCAAAAUUAAAGCCAUCCAACGUGGGUAAUUUAAACAUCAGAAACUAUACCAUUAUGUUGUAGAAAAUAAAUUUAUUACUGUAUUAUGAGUCCUCCCAUCGCACUUGGAUCAUCCACUUUCCGGCACAAUGAAGCUCAAUUAAGAUGAAUGACAUGUAACAUGUACAUCAGAACAGCCACUUAUCAUGGUAUCAUUUUUUCUGAAGAGAGAUGCCAUGAAAUAGCAUUAUCUUUGAGCAAAAUCUGUGCCCUGAGUGGCGAAAAUCUCCAACUCAUACCUCAGAAAUCAAGACAAGAGCAGGUAAAUACUGUAAGUAAUAGCGAUUUUCUUUACAUAAGCGCUUACAUUGUGGUGAAACCGCAAGGAACCAUAGACUAUCAGUAAUAGGCUCACAACAAUUAUGAAGAUACAUAUUUAUAGGCUUGUUUCACGGGAAACUACACUUCCCAGUUUCUGAAGUCAAAUGCACCAGAAUACUCAGAUAAACAUUAUAAUUCAGAAAGAAAUCCUUCCCUGUGCCUAAUUUCUAAUGUCAAAGAAGAUGCUCCAAUGAACUCCAUAAAGCCAGUCAACCUCGAUCACAAAGGGGUUUCUGAAACCAAAUGAGCCAAUGAAACAUACAGCAAAAGCCAUUCGGAAACUCGACCCGCUCAUGAAUUACCUCUGUUUUACGCUAUGAAACAAAUAGCAAACACUGACAUUUCACAGUUACGAGCAACAAAAGUUCGCUAGAUCGAGACAAGCAUAGGAUCUCCAGAGAGCAAGGUCCAGCGCGGGAGAGAGAGAUGGACUGGGUCUGAAUAGAGAAGAGAGGAGUAAUCUGGUUCUUCUGAGGUUUAUGAAAGGUGACUAUAUAUAUAUAUAUAUACCUAAGUAAGUCCUUGAAAGAUUCAUCUUGGUAUUCGUUUGAAACUCGGCAUCACUGAAAUAUAAAACAACAAAAGAGUAUUCCUUCCAUUUGAGAUUGACAAAGAUACAAGGGGACUAGGGGGCGAAACGUACAAACACUGAUAUGUUCAAAUAAUGAACCGAUCUGUGGAGCCUACUGCUGUCCAACAGGCUGCAGAGGCUCUUCUAAGAGCUCAAGCUCCCUUCCUUUGACGAAGUUACCUCAUAAUCAAACACCAAUACGAUAAUAAAUAUUAGCUAUAUAUAUAAAACCUCAGAAGUCCUAUUUCACCCCUUCAAUGGAACCAUUUUCGCCAAAUUGCCCCGAAAUUGUUUAAUUUAUUUCAAAUAUUCCCCCCCUCCCCCCAAAACACAUGGGUAAGUUGGUAAUUUCAUAAAAAAUAAUAAUAACUUACCAACAAACCACCUAGAAAAAUCAUCCCGUCCUUUUCUUUUACCAACAAUUCUUUAAUGCUUUCAAAAAAAAAAUCAAAAUUAUCUAUAUAGGAAAAAUUAAAAAAUAAUAUCUUAUGGUACGGAAGUAUAGAAUCGUGGCUCCGUUCCCUCCUCCCCAUAUCAUUCAUUUGACUUUUAGGAUUUAUGGCAUGAAAUGCUCCACGUGUCACAUCCACCAAACUUAACACCCUUCAAAAUCCCAACCACACCUUUAUCUUUAAAAAAAAAAAAAGUUCCAUGGCAUCGACAUUGAUGCGGACCACCUAUAAAUUCUAAAUCCCCAACAAAUAAAGUCAUAACUCUCCCAAAAAUGAAACCCUAACCUUUCCGAAUUUCAUGUGCCAGAAACCAACCGAUCGACAAAAUGCAAGUCCAAAUCCAUGAAACCAAACUCAUCCAACCCGCUACACCACCACUUCCCGAUCAAGAACCGGUCCUCCCUCUCUCGCACCUCGACACCGAUCCUAAUCUCGACAUCACGUUCCGUUACCUCCGUGUGUAUGUAAAUGCCGACCAAACGAAGCGCGCCCACGAUACACCGUACCAUGUCAUUGCCAGAGCGCUCUCUGGUGCACUUUGUUACUACUACCCUCUAUGC
Molecule: long non-coding RNA, 71179 nt
Filed under: Eucalyptus grandis
Lineage: Eukaryota; Viridiplantae; Streptophyta; Magnoliopsida; Myrtales; Myrtaceae
Description: long non-coding RNA (EGRA_LNC002204)
Source: RNAcentral